CCAGAUAUGUAGUUCCACCAGUGAACUUGGAAGUCCGCCCUUGGGUAGCGACCGGAAGGAGCCACAGGACCAGAUCUCUAAUCUCUUGAGGUUGGGAAGCCCACCUAACCCUUCUGGCAGGGACUGCAGCCUAGAGUACCCCUUAAUUCGAAGAACCUGGAGGGAGGUGAGCAUCUGCAGGGCCUCCGAUUGCUCCAUUGUGAAGUGCUCCAAGUCGUCAUUCCAAGCAAGCCCUAGCUCGGUGAGAGAGGAAGAGAAGUGGCCACCGACGGGCACAGCAGCGGCGCCUCCAGCUUCCCCAUCCGUUUCAAGCGCCUGCAGCCUGGAGCUAUGUUGGGGAAGAACUUGUUCGCACAUCCGCGAAGGCUCUGGGACAUCAAGUAAGUUGUGCGCUCCCCAGAUUUGUAAUUCCUUGAGAUGGCCCUGGGCAAGGAGAGGCCAUAGGUCCUCGGAUCUUAGACCCCCACAAUCAUAUAGGUCCAAUUUGGUCAGAUUUGUGAGAGGAGCCAGAGUCAGCAUGCCAUCCUUCACACCCUCAAGCACGAGGGACUGCAGGGAGGUCGGGAAAGGGCAGUAAAAAGAGGGGAUGGACAGCUGUUCUCCUGUUGCAGCUUCUAUUUCCAGUGAUCUCAGAGAGCUCUGAUUUUGGAGCAACUCCUUCAAUUGGAGGGGCAUGGACAGCUGUUCUCCUGUUGCAGCUUCUAUUUCCUCUGCUUCUCCUGCCUGCUUGUUACCACACUUCCAUAGUUCCAACGUUGAGAGGUUAGGGAAAUAAGAGAUUAGCUGUACCAAUUCCUUCACAGUGGCACCACAAUCUGAUAUCUGGAGCUGUUCAACUGGGAACUCGAAUGGGGAAUCAUUCUCACCUUCAGUUGGCCAUAGGACACUACUAAAGUCACUUAUACCCAGGGUAUUCAGAGAGUUUAGCAGUUGCAGGUGAUGUAGAGGCACUUGUGAGCAUCCAAAAAUCCUGAACUCCCUUAUUUCACUCAGAUUAGUAAAGGCCAAUACAUUCCAGAGUUCACGAUCAAGAGCAUCCUUUUUGAACUCUACACGAAUUUUCUGUUCCUUUUUGCUGUAAUCUAAGUUCUCAAUACUCUUACCCACUCUCCACAGUUCGGCUUUGGACAGAGAACUACUCCAAGGAAUUGGUGGCACUGACACUAAUUCCUCACACUCUGAAAUGUAUAUCUCCUGUACGUUGGGAAACAUGUGCGGAGAUGGCAACUCUGUAAGUUCAAAACAAUCCUCAAUAGUGAGUACCUGUAGCUUAGAGAAAGGGCUAUCUGCACUCCAUUUUCUUAGAGUUGCUAUGUUGACAAGUUCUAGCCUUUUCAGAUUCUCGAAGAUUUGGCCUGUGACAUUUGGGUGCUCUUCGCCGACCACCAACAACACUCCUAGCAAAGGUGGAAGACUUUUCCAGGCUACACCUUUGAGACAAAGGCAUUCCAAUUUCUUAGCAGAGUGGUCUGAACAUAGCCAAGUAGGGUAUGUGUGACCUCCAUGUCCUCUAAUGCACACUUGUUGAAGAUUAUUGUGUGGCUUAAGGCAUUCAAGAACAUCUUGUUCCUUUUUUGGAUCCCUAUCAGACUGGUCUCUAUCCCAACCUAAUAUUAAUCGAUUUAAGUGUUGCAAAUGGACUAAUUUUAAUUCUUCCAGCUCUGUUGCACCACCAACCUUUUCAAGAUUGCAAAUCUCCAAUGACCCUUGCAGCUGUAUCAAUUUCCCAACUUGGUUCAAUUCAAAACCUUGUUUUUCUCUAUUGACCUCAAAUCUCCUUAUCUCUUGUAUAGAUUUAAGUUUCCCAAUCUCAACAAUUCCACAAUGAUAAGAAUUAUUUCCCACAAGAAAAUGACGAAUUUUCACUAGGUUGCUCAUAUCUCUUGUAGAAGAGCAGAUCUCUUCUUCUUCCAUAUGAGCAAAAGUGUCGCAUUCUUUUAUAUCUAGGACCAACAAGUUAUAAAAUCUUGAUAUACUACCAAAUAAACUUCUUAAAUUUAAUACAUAACCCUUUAUCCUUAAGUAACGAAGAUGGACAAGUUGUGAGAAACUGUGCAGCAGAACCUCCACAUCAUACGAUGCACCUGAUAAGAAAAUGACACGAAGGGUUUUUGCAUCCCGAAACAUACCACUAAAUAUCUUGCAAAAGCUUCCAUGGUGAUCUCCAAAUAACAUCAAAGUACGUAGGUUUCUAGCUUUCAGUCUUUUACCAAGUAUAUCAAGCCCUUUCUUACAAUUUUCAAAGGUUGCUUUGUCCUGGACAUCUGAAUUAUUUAUGAUGAUUGACAUGUGAUGUAUAGAUGCAGGAAUUUGUAUUGACCACACAUUAGACCCUUGUAUGCUAAUACAUUCAUGUGCUGAAACAUUUCUUGCCAAGUCAUGGAGUAGAUCAUGUAUCACAUAAUAAGUGCUGCCAUCCUCUUUUUUUGCUUCAUGGAAGAAGCCAUGAUUAACCAAGUCGCUUAAAUAAUCUAGUCCAAUAUCUUCAAGUCUCUUGUUUUGAUCGUCGGGGCCUAACAGCCCUAGUCCUAUCCACAAGUGGAUUAACUCUUCCCUUCCAAAUUCAUAAUCUUCAGGGAACAAGGCACAGUGGGCAAAACAUUGUUGUAGAUGAAAAGGAAGAUAGUUAUAGCUAAGCUUUAAUGCUGGCAUGAUAUCAUCCUCAUUGGCCUGAUAUUCCCAUUCUUUACUCUCAAGUACCCUUCUCCAAUGGUCUGUGUUAAGUUCAGUUUUCAGUAAUCUACCGACAGUUUUAACUGCAAGAGGGAAACCUUUCAAUCUCUUCACUAUUUCGCACCCAAAAUCAUGCAAAUUAGGGUUCCCUUCCCAUGUUUGCUGGUCAUCAAACACACAUGCUUGGAAGAAACACAUGCAUUCUUCAUCACUUAACCGUUCUAAUCUUAUUUGACAGCCUACUGUUGCAACCAUUUGUGCCACCUUCGGUAUCCUUGUUGUGACUAUUGCCAUGUUACCUUUUGUUUGCAUUUUCUUAAAUGGGGCUAGCAGUUUUUUCCAUUCAUUUUCGUGAUCUGUCCACAUGUCAUCCAAAACAAGCAAGAACCGUUUGGACUGCAAUCUUUUUUCAAUCAGACCUUCAGCACUUUCAUUUCCAUUUUCAUUGUCAAGUUUAGGGAUUUGUUUUAUGAUUUCUUGUGCCAACUUACUUGCACUGAAAUUCUGAGAGACACAUACCCAUACCAGGACUUGGAAGUGGCUCUUUGCUUCUUCAUAUAUAUGUUGUGUGAGUGUUGUCUUCCCAAGACCCCCUGGACCAACUAUCGAAAGAACAGUGAGAUCAUCAUUGACAUGAUAUUUAGAGGUUAUUCCAUCUAUGACAUCCUUUUUCAAAUCAUCCCUCCCAUAUAACUUUGGCUCUAUAAUCUGUGGGGUGGUGGUUCUGGUGGUUUGGUUGAAAGCAGUGCCUUGUUGGGCUGAGAUGCCAGUGGAGGCUAUAGUUCCCUGCAGCUCCAGAUCUAGAAUUGUAGAGACCAUAGCACACACUGGCUUAAGCUGCUCAACUAUGUCCACCAUCCGUUUGGACAUGGCCACCCGAUCAAACUUGAGUUUUGGCUUUCUACGAUGGUGACACACCACAGAAGCACAGGAACAUGAGGGGAGCUUCAGCUUACUGACGACGGCCCCGGCCGUGUGGCGUGCGUUGAGGACAAGGCCCCCGACGAGACCUCGGACAUCGGCGUCAAUGGUCUCAUAGGUCCCGUCGAGCUCGUCUUGGAUGCGGAAGUACUCCAGCUCGUCUAGAACGUCAUCAGCAUCAAAUGCUUGGUUGCGGAGCUCCUGCAAGAGCUGCCCCAGUGCCGGGCUGCGGACAUCCCUGCCACGGGCGUUGUCUAGCAUCCCCUGGGCGUACAGGAGUUGCAGCUUGAGGGCGCGGAUGUUGGGGGCCAGCUUCGAAGAGGCUGCCCAAGACUCCAUGAGGCCAUCGGAGAUGGGUCUCAGUGCCCUGGACACCGCCCAGCGUGCUGCGCUGAUGGUGAUCUCCAUCCUCUCUUUCAAAGGGUGUUGGAUGACGAAGAUUCUGUGAAUCAAAGCAUCGAUCAAGUUAUGAGCCUGUUCGGAACAGCUGCAGCUGCACUAGCACAAGAAACGGUGUUGCGUGAGUCUUUGUUUGCAGCAACAGCCGCACUGGCAAGAAGCUGUUCUGAAGCUGAAGCCAAUGUACUAGGAUUAGCUCGCUGUUUGUUCUGCAAGAGGUGAAGUAUGUGCAGAUCACAAGGCUAGCCAGCUGCUUACCUAGGCUACGCAGGAGGUGCCCUGCGUGGUCGGCACCGGGUUGGAGACUGGAGCAGCUGCAACGAGCCAAUGACACAGGCACCACGGAGUUGGAGCCUUGGAGGCCGCGGACGUGAAGAGGUGUCUGUGAACUGGAACACUUAUCUGGGAGGAAUGCGAGAGAGAAGAACUCUAGCCUCCGGACAAGCAACUUGCACCGGUGGUGUGUGCUGUGUGGAUGGAGAUGUAGAUAUUUCUGAACGGCUGGGAGUGCCAGCGUGUGUUUGGUUUGGACUGAUAUUUUUGAAAAGUCAAGCAGAGUAUGGAAUCUUGCUUGCCUGACAGCUUAUUGAAGUGGACACGGCCUCCUGCCAGCCAAGGCGAGAGCGAGAGCUUGGCAUGGAUUGCUCAAUCACACUGCGCUACAGCAGUUCAACCCUGUAUCUCACAGCUUGUGUUUGCACAGACUGAGUUCCCUUUGGCCUUAAGCUUGUUCAAUUACCUAGCAGAUGUUGUAAUUUUCGUUUCAGGUAUUUGAGCUCAGCAGGGACCUUAAUCCUGAUUGAGAAAAAACGUUAGGUCGGGUAUCCUUUGGCCUUUGCAAGUUUGGCUAUGUAGGUCCGGUUCCAUUCCAGCUGAUGUCACUGAAAUGCAGGACACAAAGCUUGUUCAAUUAUUCUUGUCCUUCCCCGAAUUCCUCUUGACUGACUUGCAGUCUGAAGAGGCCAGUGGUCUCGUAGGUCCCAUCGACCUUGUCCUGCAACCCCGCGCGACACUGACUUUCGUUUUUAUUUGGCAAUUAUUGUCCAAUCAUGGACUAACAGGCUCAAAAGAUUCAUCCCGUGAUUUACAGGCAAACUAUGUAAUUGUUUUCGACUAUAUUUAAUGCUUCAUGCAUGUGCCGCAAGAUUCGAUGUGACGGAGAAUCUUGAAAAGUUUUUGAUUUUUUGGGUUGAACUAAACAAGGCCGUGCUUUCGUUUGUAUUUGGUAAUUAUUGUCCAAUCAUGGACUAACUAGGCUCAAAAGAUUCGUCUCAUAAAUUACAGACAAACUGUGUAAUUAGUUUGUUUUCAUCUACAUUUAAUACUCGAUGCAUGUGUUUAAAGAUUCGAUUUGACGGUAAAUCUUGAAUAUUUUUGGAAACUAAAAAAAGGCCUAAGCUCAAGUGAACAGGACGUCCGACGACCAUUGACCUGGACCUGGACACAGAACCACAGCGAGCCGAUCGAAGAAGCCGCGGCCACAUCGAGCCGAGUAGCUUAAACCAUGCAAUGCAAGAUGGGAUCGAAGAACCUUCAGCCGUUCAGCGAAUCAAUUGGGCUGACUGACUGAACUGUGCAGUCCCAAUUGUCAAAAGUUUGGUAGCCAACAGGGCUUCACAUUCAGUGUGUUUAACAGAGCUUGACUCUGAAAAUUCAGGUUCAGUGUUCUUGACAGCCUGCGUUGGACAGCUGAUUUUGAUAUGUGAUUCUACUUUGAAAAGCAGGGCCCUUUGCCUUCAAGACAAACUAGACCCUAUGUUCAUUUGAUUUUAGAUUAUAGUGAGAUUGAGAUCCAUCUGAAAAGCAAUCAUUGAAAUGCUAGCAGAGCAGAACUUUUUACUUACUAGCUUCGUUCAGUCCUGUAUCUCAUGUGCUUUCGCAUGCUAGCCAUUUGGCCUACACUCAAAAUGCAGCAGUUGCCUGUUCUAUUCUUAGCGGCACACUCUUGCACACUUUGAUUCAGCACAAUGUAAGUUUGACAAACAUAAUUUGGCAAGCCAAUUCAGUCUAGAGAACAACCUAUAUAUCGUCUCAACUUAGACAUUAUCUAGCAUAAUCAAUUGACAACCUCUUCAGUUAGCAAUGUGUCAUCAUUUUGAAAGGGUCCAUGUCAAGGACUGCCUAACCAUGCAAAUAACUCACAUGAAAAUCCCAACUUCGGAUGGCUGCACAUGGUCAGUAGGAGAUUGGAUUUUUUUUUCAUAAGAAUUUAUUUGGUAAGCGUGGCUGUGCCAGUCAACUUUUCUUGGUUGUCCAUGCAUAUGAAAAUCUAAAAAAACAAGAUGAAUUAUGGAUUUUAAUUUUUUUUUCCUGUAUAUAUGACAUGAAUUAUGGAUUGGCUGAAGACCUGUUAGUCUAAUAUUAAAUUACAUAACAAGAUGAAUGAUUGAAUUAAGUGAUACAAAAAAUAUUUUACCUCCACGGUAGCGCUGCCAUCUAGUUUCGAGCCAUUUAUCCUCCAAGGACAAGGGCCCGUCGAUUCAUCACCAGACUUGCAAAACCCCCCUAUAUUUCUUUGUAGUUGACUUACAAACAAGAGAAAUCUACAUUUACUUGAGACUUACAAACAGAAGAAAUCUACAUUUAUAUUUACUACUGUCUUCUACUGGAACGAAAAAAAGACAGGAAGUGCAUCCAAUAUUUACUACUGUCUACUAUGUACUGGUAUGAAAUAAGAGAUGAAGUGCAUCGAAUUUAUAUCUUUCCACUUGAAGAAUCGGAAGGCUGUACUCUAUUGCUGGAUGACAAACAGUAGGCAACAGUGACCUUGCAUGGGCAUCGGCAUCUAUUUGCACGGAUUGGUCCACCUGGACAUCAGGUAUAUUUGGCCAUCUCCACCUUGGCUGGUUUCACCAGCAGCGUCACCGCCUACCCUGAGAACGCUUGGAACACAGAACAAGACAUCAAGAUCAUGUACAAAGACGCAAAACGAGACACACCAGCAGCAGAAGCCCCACCGUGGUCAUGUGCGUGAGCGCGUCGUUCCUGGUGUUGUCUAGUCUCCUGCCCGGCGAGGCAAGCCCUAGGUCACUUGCCAUCUGGCUUCCUGCCAGCGCGACGAGGCUUCGACGGCCGUUGGAGGGAGCAGAUCGCCUACCGCCGCCGGGGGCUCGCCGGGCGACGGUGGAUCGCCGGGGAGAGGUUUUGCGGUGGAAACGUCGAUCUUUUUUUAGAGAAACUGAAACAUCAAUCUGUGUACAAAGACUAAAGGGCAAUACAGUCAUUAACUAAAAAUACAUGUAUUUUAAAUUAUCAAAAUUAAUUAAAAAGGGCCAAAAUAUCAUUAGAGCUUAUAAACAACGUUUAGAGUUCUGUUUGGAAGAAACCAAUGUUACGAGUCCUAUUUGGAAGAAGCCAAUUAUAAUUGGAUAACCAUUUUCUCCGUAACCUCCGUUGUGGCCAUGCUGCGGCAGCGGGAGGCGCCGGAGUCGCGGCCGUGAUACUCAGAUGCAGCGAAUCAAGCAAGCGCCUCUCCACUCCUCGCUGCGGGAUACAGACGAACGGAACAGGGUCAGGAAGGAUAAGGAAGGGAGGGCGCCGGAGUCGGGCGGCAGAGGACGUGUGCGAGGAGGGAGACAUCUUCAACAAAUUCAGCUUGACUGACUGAACUCUGCAUCUUCUUCAGCAAGUGUCGAAGUUGGUAGACAACACAGCAGGGAUUCACAUUCUGAAGAGACCCCAAAUUGCUCGAUGGUAUGCUUCAGUAAAUUCAGUCCAUUUCCAUCUGUGGCUGUCUGCAACAUGUUAGUACUUAAUAUGUUGCAAAUCUACUGAAACUCAAAUUUCCAUCGGUGGCUGUCUGCAACAUGUUAGUAAUCAAGAGAUUUUGUCUGCAACGUUUUAUUUCAAUGACAGUUCAGCCUCCAGUUAAUGUUUUCUUUUUCUUAUUAUGCGACAACAUUCCAGAAAAAACACUGUGGUUUCCUUCAUUCCUCUCAAUCCCUUUCCAUAUCUGUCCUGUUGCAGACCAAUAGUUUCCCAUUUUUUAUGAGACAAAAAUAACAGAAUACUUUGAAGUCGUAGUAGUUUAUUGACUAAAUUACCCUAAUGCAGAAAGUUCGGGGCCUAAAUUAGAGUUUGGCACAUGCCCCCAAACUUUCAAUCAUGACCUGCAUGUGUAGCUAGCGUCAGAUUGUCUGUAAUCAAAAUAAAAGGUAUUGGUAAGCAUAACAAAGUUCACGUCUAUCUUAUCCUAUAAAUUUGCUGAACACAUAUAGUAUCGUAUUAUCCAUAUUUUCACGUCGGUUACUGAAAAUUUACAUGUUCCCAGGUUACUGAAAAUUUACAUGUUCCCAACAUUGUCAAAUCAUAAACCAAGCAAAGUUGUACCAGAGUGCAGGGUCAUAGCAAAAUUGUACCUGGAGUGCAGAAGCUCGUGUAGGGAACAACACAGGGAACACGACCAAGCAAGCCAUCUUCAUCACAUUCCCCCUUGUAUACCUUCCGCACCCGACCAGACUUUAGAUCAAAGCUGAAUAGCACACCAUCAUUCAUUCCCACGAAAAAGACAUCAACACCAUGCGCAAAGCCAAGGAAGCCAUAACUGAUGGAGCCGGCACCGACUGGAAGCAACUUCUCAAGCUCAAUGACUCUAGUCCGUGUCCAUCCCACGCCUCCGUUUGGAUUCACCUCCAUUGACCAGAGCAAGAGUCUGGCGGCCAUAUCCACUCUUGCAAAUCCCAGCCCACCACCCUCCAUCUCCAUGAGCGCAAUAGCACAAUUGGAGGCUCGAGGUAAGUGAACCACAGAUGUCUCCGUUGUGGCCAAAUCAAAACCUAGGACCCUACUGCCAUUAUCAAUCGAGAAGUAGAGUGUGUUCCCACAAGGGCAGUAGGCACUAGAUCGACGCUGCACUUGGGGACCAGAGUCGGCUCGCUCCAGCAGGCUGCCGCCGAUGAGUAGACGCGCAAGGACCAGCGCUGGACCUGGCUGUAGCUGUAGUACUUGGUGACAAAGCGAACGACGACGAAGGCUGUACCGUCGGCCGUGGGCUCGCGGAGCACAGUCGCGUACCACUCGUCCCGUUCGCAGUCGUCCAGGACUGGUAUCUCCCACCGCUCGCCCGUUGUCGGGUCCCAGAUGACGAGGGCGUCGACCUCGUCGUCACCCAGGACGAAGUGGAGGACGACGAGGCCGUGGCGGGCGUCGAGGACGACGCAGUCGCGGACGUCCUCCUCGCAGCCGGUGGGUGUCGGGCGGAAAGAGGAGGUGGGGACGAACCAGGCGAACAAGGGGUUGCACAGGAAGCCGAGCAGUGGUGCUGUGCGGUGGAACUCCAUGAACCGGCGGCGGAAGCUGCGGGCACAGACGAUGCGGCACCAGGGCUUGCAGACGAGCGCGGCGCGGACGAGGCUCGCGGGAUCGGCCGGUGGGAGGCGGAGGAGGAUCUCUUCGACGACGUCGGCCGGCAGCUCCAUACUGCUACAGAUCCGGGGAGAGGAGCGGCGCAAGCGCGAGGCUGAGGCAGAGGCGGAGGCGUGGGUGCCGGAGGGAUCCGGCGAGGGGCGGCGCUGCCUGCUGCGACAGCGGAGGUUUUUUUUUUUUUUUUUUUUUGAGCUGCGACAGCGGAGCUGGGCUGCGAAUUGGGCCGUUCAGCUUCUCGAGUGGAGAGGCCUUCGAAUUUUCUGUUCCAUCAGCCCACAGCCCACGGGAAUUGCUAGUAGGCCCAGGCACAGCCCACAGCCCGCAGCGUGAUCGAAGGAGAUCUUCAGGAACUUAGACUGACAGACUGAACUCUGUUAUUCUGAAUAGACAACAGACCUUCAUAUAUCGAGUGUUCUCAUGAAUUUCAGUUGUACUGAUAUCAUAGUUUCUUGCAACCGGUGUUUGGUAACAAAGGGGGAGGGCAGUGAGGGGAGAGAAACUGGAAUCGAUUUUCAAGAUUGACAGACUUCUGUGUGAAUAUACAUGUUGCUGGUGACAAGAGACGAAUUGGUAAUGGCUUCUCGUCCCUCGCGAACCUGUAUCUUGAAAUUCUACGGAAAUCUUAAGGGGUUGCGUGGCAUACUGAACCCUGUUGUCUGUUGAUGCCAACCCUAUUAGACAAAUUGCUCCAAAUGUUUCUACUGCAUUGUAUCCAGGCCUGCCUGCAACGCAUGAGUGAUGGUAACUUCUUGUCGUCAUUCACGUUUCCUGUGUGUGAUGCUAUGGCUGAUCAAGGCACAAAAGCUGGCAGGGGCGAAGCUACGUGCUGAUUAGGGGGUGCAAAUACACCCCCUGAAAUUUAUAAAAACAGUGACUAGAUCCAAAAUUUCACCAUAUACGCACCCCCAUAAAAAAUGUCUAUGCAUCCACAAGCUAAAUACACCCCCCUUCUAAUUCGCUCUAGCUUCGCAACUGAAAGCUGGCAAGAAGGUUUAUAGCAUCUUUGAGGGUUAUACUAAUCUUUAAAAGAGACUGGUCCAUGUCACCAUGGAGGAGUUAUCAAUGUCAUUGAGGGUCAUAGUAAUCUGUAAAGGAUGAUGGAGUUUAGAGUAGACUAGUGAAGGUCCAAGUGCUCGUUUUGUUUGAGCCCCACUUCCUGUAGCAAAUGGGGCAGGAAGAUUAUAAAGAGCAAGGACGUCUAAGAAAACUGUCCAUGCUUUGAUAAUGCUUUUAUGUGGAAAAACUCCUCAAAAUGAGGAGUAAAAAACCACGGGACCAUCACGGUCCACUGCCAAACUUUCCAUUAUAUGAGGACCAUGUACUCUUUACAAUAUCUAGAGAUAAUACCAGAUCUGAAAACCGUCAUAAUAAAACCCUUGCACGACCAAACAUAACCACGAAUGUAACCUUGAGCUAACAGGAGUUAACCACUUCACCAACAUAAGGUCAUGCCGUUGAAUCCUGAAGCAGUCAAUCCAUUUUGCACGCUGCUGAACAAUGGCAACGCAAACUAAAAAAGUCUCUCUCAAACUUGAUGUUCUUCUAGCACAGUACACAAGUUUUUCCACAGCUGCAGCUCAAGCAAAACAUGUUUUACUGAACUUCUUUUCAACUCUAUCUUUGGAGCAACGUGGCAUCUAAACUGUCCGUGCAAAGGUGAUUUUCUCCCUUUUGAACCCCAGUAUCUUGAACAUGACUCAAGACCAUGCCAGUUCUAGGCUCAUUGAUGCUGCUGCAACUGCAACGGAACUAUGAAAUGACUGCACCUCUACCAGUUGCAGCAUCGCUACUCACUUGGUACAAAGAACAUCCAUAGUUCAGAACAAUCCCUUUCCUAAAACAGAAGACAAAUUGAAUAAUUGAAGUCACUUAUUUGCAUAAUGUCACGGACAUAAUAUUAAUCUCUAUGUAUCCUAAUGUCACCACAUUGACAGAGAAGCAAAUACUAUUCAUUUUCAAAAAUUGUAAAAUAUCUAUAUUUUCAUUAUCUUCAAAUUCAGUUAUGAGUGUUCAUUUUAUAUUAUCAGAAAAAUCAGUAUGUUUCAUAGAGGCUUCCAACAUUAAGACCUAUUUGUAUAAUUAUGUACUGUAAUAUUGUAUGGGCAUGGCUAUUUAAAAGGUCAAAAAGGGGGGCAGCAGCCAGAUAUAUCUAAAUAAUGAAACAAGCUACAACGUCAUAUCAGUAUGGCUCAGUGACUGACUGACGCUCCUAACAUAACCAGAGAGAGAGAGAGAGAGAGUUUCAAAUGUUCAGCCUUCUAAUAUUUUAGCCCCAUUCAUUAGCAAGCUUCAAGUAAGGAAACAAAUUUUACAUGCUAUUAACACUGGAGAAAUGUCACCUCAAUGAAACUGGAUGGAUGGAGUGUCAGCAAAUUGGCUUGGAACUAAUAAAAUUUCUAUGUCUAAUAAAAUUUACAGGCACAACUUUAUUUUGUCGUCUUUACAAAAAACAAAAAAAAUGAGAGAAAGGAGGUGAGAUACUGACAGAGAUAUUUUGCAGAAGUAGCGCCUCAAAAGCCAGCAGUCUUGUAGGAGUACAAAACAGCGGGCUGCUGUGCUGCCGCCCCACACACGACCUGCGAACCCCAGGAUGAGGCUGUGCCGAUCCCAUCAGCAGAGACGAUGCCUGCCAUGCUUGCCUGCAGUCCACGCGUGUGUCACAUGCAGUUGACCAUCAAAAGAUGCACACCACACACCACAGUAACGCCGAAAGAUCCAUCUCAGAAUCUAUCCAUCCAUCAAGGGAAAGAGAGGCAUUCGAGAGCCGGCUGGUACAGCUUCAGCAUUAGCACCCACCACUCCCUACCACCGCCUACCUCAGUCUCAGUGCAACUUCCACUUUGCACUCAUCAACCAGUGUCUCUGUAUGAAUGGCGUGAAAACGAAAUGCCCGGCCCCUCUUCCUCAACGCCGGCGCCCCAGCUGUUGCAGUACUGGCAGCAGCAAGACGAAGGGAUGUAGCCGGCCGGCGACACAGACGAGGCGAGCGCGCCGGCGCCUGCAACAGCCACUUCUAGUCUUGUAUGCUCGCGAACUCCCAUUGUCGGACGCCCAACAGUACGCAUCUCCUUGCUCUCCUAUUCCUGACACAAGGCCUUCCUUGCUGAGCGAUGGACCGGCCAAACUGGCCAACCUGUUAAUGCGCUCUGGGGUUUCAGCGCCGCUGAGAGAUGCCGCCGAUGGAUGUCCACACACUCGAUGCACCUGGCCCCGUGCCGCGGCUAUCCAUGAUUCUUUCAGGGACGAGGUUGCUGGCGUCGCGCAGGAGGUUCCUCUAGGGAUGCAAUGCGAUGCUCGCCUCCGUCAGUAGCACGACAUCAGGCAGGCAUUCCACCUGCAGCAAGUUUCAGAGAAUAAUGUGGUAUCAAUUUCAGCAAUAGCUUCCACUUACGUGCCUGCCUGCCUGCCUGUCUGCCUGGAUUAAUUUCAAAUGCUCAGCAAGAGAUGACUAGUCCCGCUACCUGAGUGAAGCUGCUAGCAAUCGCAAGAUGCUCCUUGUCAAUAUCCAUGCUGACAACAAGCGCUGGAAGCCUGUUAUGGUCUGACGGUUUCUUUCACUUCUGAUACGGCCUUUGCAGAUGCCCCCAUAUAUGCUGAGACAUAGUUCCAGCAUCAGCGACGACUGACGCUACUUAAGAAGGCGAGGGAUGUCAAUAGCAGUUUAUAGCAGAGGUUAACCUCCAUCGACGAGUACAGUGGAUGCGCCCUGAUUGAGUACUGACGCUUCCUCUGCUGUCAGAAACUGGCUCCUCCGAGGAAGUUGAGUCUUCCUCGCGUGGGUGGUUGCUCCGGCAAGUGGCGAUGCUCACCUCCAUCAGUAGCACGACAUCAGGCGUUUAACCUGCAAAGUUUAAUAAUGCCUUUCAGCAGACAGUUUGUAUCACGUCUAAUAAUGCCUUUGCACAUGCCUUAGUGCUAGUUAGUAUGCGCUGGGACAUAGUUCAAGCAUCAGCGACUGACUGGCGCUACUGCAAGGGAAGGAUAUGUCAAGAGAAGGUUACAGCAGAUGGAUGAGUACAUACAGUGGGUGUGCCAUCGAGCCCGAGCUCUGCUCUCAGAAACUGGCUCCUCGGAUCCUCCCAGGAAGUUGGGUCUCCUCUAAGUCGGCUUGGCUGGAAAUGUUAGAGAUAUCCAAUCCUUAACUUACCAAACCCGUGCAAUAGAGAGGAGAAAACACAUCAGUGAAUGCAUGUGAUAAAUGAAAAACAGAAAAGUGAAUGAAGAAACAGAGAAAGGAAGGAUCAAAUGUUCAGCCUUAUAAUAUUUCAGCCUCAUUCAUGAUCAAUCUUAACUCUGGAGAAAUGUCACUUCGAUGACACUGAAUGGAUGGACUGUCAGCAUAUUGGCUUGGAAGUAUGGUUACCUUGACUAGUACGGAGACAGAGACCUGCGCAAGCAGCUGUGACAGUGUUCCAGCACUGAUGACCUCCCAGCAGCUAGAGGUAUACAUCAUCCAAUCCAACCGACUGAAAAGGGAAGUUUGCGCUGAUCAGUUAGAAGAUUUGAAAAAACAGAUGGGAGCCUAUCACAUUCAGACUAAGUAGGUUACGUCGCGAUGAAACUCACCAAUGGUACAUCAUUUAAAAUCUCGAUGCUGAUUUAACAGCAUUGAUAUAUGGCUUUCCAUUAUCCCAACUUAUGCAUUUUGUAAAGUUCUUCAUGCCAGGGUCACAAGCAGAUAUCACGGGAGAUUGCAUCGUCAAGAAUGCCCUGUAAUGAAAAAUUUGCUCAAUCUCUGCUCAAAAUGGUCCACCAAUCACAGUCUGACCAAAAAAAAUGUUUGAUAUCCAGGUUACAUGUUGUCUAGAACCUAAACCAAGAUGGAAUAAAAAAAACCCUGAAACGUAGUAUCAUUGAUUUGGACCAUGUAUGCUAUGUCAAGCAAUUCAAAUAAGAGUGAAGAUUUAAGAACAAAGUUGCAGCACAAAUUCUAAUGAUUGGAAAGGAUUAAAGAAGCUAAAUCAGAGAAAACUGGAAGAGGGAUGGUUCCUAAUACUGUUACAGUGGUGCUCUUUGCAUGCAGUGCAAUGUAACAAGGUAAGGUGCCACUGAUCAGAUAAUAACAAAGUAAAAUGGCCACCAAAAAAAAUUGAGCUACUUCACGUUCAGCAACUAACAUGGGUGAUCCUUAGGUGGAACUUUUUGGUAAAAAAUAGUGCAAAAAAAGGAAGUGUUUGUUACCUUAGAUUAGUAGCCUCAGAACUUAACUAUGGGUAUUGUUCCUUGCAGCUUCCGGCACUGCUUCUGUAGCUUCUCGUUGCUAUUCGUGACAUCUAGCUUUUGAAGUGAAUUCGGGAGGCUGCCCUCAUGCAGCGACCUGAUAGCAGGACAGUCGCGGAUCCGUAAUAUCUUCAGUGAACUUGGAAGGCUUCCCUUUGGUAGCGACCGGAAGCCAUCGCAACUAAUUAUAUUUAGUUCUGUCAGCGAACUUGGGAGGGUGCCCUUGGGCAGUGACCGGAUGGCACCACAGCACCAGAUUUGUAAUUCCACCAGUGAACUUGGAAGUCCGCCCUUGGGUAGGGACCGAAAGCAGUUACAGUACUCGAUCUCUAAUCUCUUGAGGUUGGGAAGCCCACUUAACCCUUCUGGCAGGGACUGCAGCCUACAGUACCACUCAAUUCGAAGAACCUGGAGGGAGGUGAGCAUCUGCAGGGCCUCCGAUUGCUCCAUUGUGAAGUGCUCCAAGUCGCCAUUCCGACCAAGGCAUAGCUCGGUGAGAGAGGAAGAGAAGUGGCCAUGGAUGGGCACAGCAACGGCGCCCCCUGCUUCCCCAGCCGUUUCGAGCGCUUGCAGCCUGGAGCUAUGUUGGGGAAGAACUUGUUCGCACAUCCGCGAAGGCUCUGGGACAUCAAGUAAGUUGUGCGCUCCCCAGAUUUGUAAUUCCUUGAGAUGGCCCUGGGCGAGGAGAUGCCAUAGGUCCUCAGAUCUUAGACCCCCACAAUCAUGUAGGUCCAAUUUGGUCAGAUUUGUGAGAGGAGCCAGCGAAAGCAUGCCAUCCUUCACACCACCAAGCUGGAGGGACUGCAGGGAGGUCGGGAAAGGGCAGUAAAAAGAGGGGGGCGAACUGGAGGAUAGAAGCAUGGGGCAGUUACGUAUAACCAGUGAUCUCAGAGAGCUCUGAUUUUGAAGGGGCAUGGGCAGCUGUCCUCCUGCUGCAGCUUCUAUUUCCUCUGCUCCGCCUGCCUGCUUGUUACCACAACUCCAUAGUUCCAACGUUAAGAGGUUAGGGAAAUAAGAGAUUAGCUGUAACAAUUCCUUCACAGUGGCACCACAACCUGAUAUCUGGAGCUGUUCAACUGGGAACUCGAAUGGGGAAUCAUUCUCACCUUCAGUUGGCCACAGGACACUAGUACAGUGACUUAUAUGCAGGGUCUUCAGAGAAUUUAGCAGUUGUAGGUGAUGUAGAGGCACUUGUGAGCAUUCACUGAUCCUGAACUCCUUUAUUUCACUCAGAUUACUGAAGGCCAAUACAUUCCAGAGUUCAUGACCAAGAGCAUCCUUUUUGAACCCUACACGAAUUUCCUGCUCCUUUUUGCUGUAAUCUAAGUUCUCAAUAAUCUUACCCACUCUCUGCAGUCUAGCUUUGGACAGAGAACUACUCCAAGGAAUUGGUGGCACUGACACUAGUUCCUCACACUCUGAAAUGUAUAUCUCCUGUAGGUUGGGAAACAUGUGCGCAAAUGGCAGCUCUGUAAGUACAGAACAAUUCUUAACAAUGAGUACCUCUAGCUUAGAGAAAGGGCUAUCUACACUCCAUUUUUUCAGAGUUGCUAUGUUGACAAGUUCUAGAAAUUUCAGAUUCUGAAAGGUUUGCCCUGCGACGCUUGGCUGCUCUUCGCUGACCAUCAACAACUCUCCUAGCAGAGGUGGAAGACUUUUCCAGGCUACACCUUUGAGACAAAGGCAUUCCAAAUUCUUAGCAGAGUGAUCUGAACAUAGCCAGGUAGGGUAUGUGUGACCUCCAUGUCCUCUAAUGCACAGUUCUUGAAGAUUAUUGUGUGGCUUAAGGCAUUUAAGAAGAUCUUGUUCCUUUUUUGGGUCCCUAUCAGAUUGGUUUUCAUCCCAACCUAAUAUUAAUCGAUUUAAGUGUUGCAAGUGGACUAAUUUUAAUUCUUCCAGCUCUGUUGCACCACCAACCUUUUCAAGAUUACAAAUCUCCAAUGACCCAUGGAGCUGUAUCAAUUUCCCCAAUUGGUUCAAUUCAAAACCUUGUUUUUCUCUUUUGACCUCAAAUCUCCUUAUCUCUUGUAUAGAUUUAAGUUUCCCAACCUCAACAAUUCCACAAUGAUAUGAUUGAUUUCCCACAAGAAAAUGACGAAUUUUCACUAGGUUGCUCAUAUCUCUUGUAGAAGUGCACAUCUCUUCUGUGUCUAUACGAGGAAAAGUGUUGCAUUCUUUUAUAUCUAGGACCAACAAGUUAUAAAAUCUUGAUAUACUACCAAAUAAACUUCUUAAAUUUAAUACAUAACCCUUUAUCCUUAAGUAACGAAGAUGGACAAGUUGUGAGAAACUGUGCAGCAGAACCUCCACAUCAUACGAUGCACCAGAUAAGAAAAUGACACGAAGGGUUUUUGCAUCCCGAAACAUACCACUAAAUAUCUUGCAAAAGCUUCCAUGGUGAUCUCCAAAUAACAUCAAAGUACGUAGGUUUCUAGCUUUCAGUCUUUUACCAAGUAUAUCAAGGCCUUUCUUACAAUUUUCAAAGGUUGCUUUGUCCUCCACAUCUGAAUUAUUUAUGAUGAUGGACAUGUGAUGUAUAGAUGCAGGAAUUUGUAUUGACCCCACAUUAGCCCCUUGUAUGCUAAGACAUUCAUGUGCUGAAACAUUUCUUGCCAAGUCAUGGAGUAGGUCAUGUAUAACAUAAUAAGUGUGCCCAUCCUCUUUUUUUUCUUCCUGGAAGAAGCCAUAACUAACCAAGUCGCUUAAAUAAUCUAGUCCAAUAUCUUCAAGUCUCUUGUUUUGAUCGUCGGGGCCUAACAGCCCUAGUCCUAUCCACAAGUGGAUUAACUCUUCCCUUCCAAAUUCAUAAUCUUCAGGGAACAAGGCACAGUGGGCAAAACAUUGUUGUAGAUGAAAAGGAAGAUAGUUAUAGCUAAGCUUUAAUGCUGGCAUGAUAUCAUCCUCAUUGGCCUGAUAUUCCCAUUCUUUACUCUCAAGUACCCUUCUCCAAUGGUCUGUGUUAAGUUCAGUUUUCAGUAAUCUACCGACAGUUUUAACUGCAAGAGGGAAACCUUUCAAUCUCUUCACUAUUUCGCACCCAAAAUCAUGCAAAUUAGGGUUCCCUUCCCAUGUUUGCUGGUCAUCAAACACACAUGCUUGGAAGAAACACAUGCAUUCUUCAUCACUUAACCGUUCUAAUCUUAUUUGACAGCCUACUGUUGCAACCAUUUGUGCCACCUUCGGUAUCCUUGUUGUGACUAUUGCCAUGUUACCUUUUGUUUGCAUUUUCUUAAAUGGGGCUAGCAGUUUUUUCCAUUCAUUUUCGUGAUCUGUCCACAUGUCAUCCAAAACAAGCAAGAACCGUUUGGACUGCAAUCUUUUUUCAAUCAGACCUUCAGCACUUUCAUUUCCAUUUUCAUUGUCAAGUUUAGGGAUUUGUUUUAUGAUUUCUUGUGCCAACUUACUUGCACUGAAAUUCUGAGAGACACAUACCCAUACCAGGACUUGGAAGUGGCUCUUUGCUUCUUCAUAUAUAUGUUGUGUGAGUGUUGUCUUCCCAAGACCCCCUGGACCAACUAUCGAAAGAACAGUGAGAUCAUCAUUGACAUGAUAUUUAGAGGUUAUUCCAUCUAUGACAUCCUUUUUCAAAUCAUCCCUCCCAUAUAACUUUGGCUCUAUAAUCUGUGGGGUGGUGGUUCUGGUGGUUUGGUUGAAAGCAGUGCCUUGUUGGGCUGAGAUGCCAGUGGAGGCUAUAGUUCCCUGCAGCUCCAGAUCUAGAAUUGUAGAGACCAUAGCACACACUGGCUUAAGCUGCUCAACUAUGUCCACCAUCCGUUUGGACAUGGCCACCCGAUCAAACUUGAGUUUUGGCUUUCUACGAUGGUGACACACCACAGAAGCACAGGAGCAUGAGGGGAGCUUCAGCUUACUGACGACGGCCCCAGCCGUGUGUCGUGCGUUGAGGACAAGGCCCCCGACGAGACCUCGGGCAUCGGCGUCAAUGGUCUCAUAGGUCCCAUGGAGCUCAUCUUGGAUGCGGAAGUACUCCAGCUCGUCUAGAACGUCAUCAGCAUCGUACGCUUGGUUGCGGAGCUCCUGCAAGAGCUGCCCCAGUGCAGGGUUGCAGACAUCCCUGCCACGGGCGUUGUUCAGCAUCCCCUGGGCCUACAGGAGUUGCAGCUUGAGGGCGCGGAUGUUGGGGGCCAGCUUCGAAGAGGCUGCCCAAGACUCCAUGAGGCCAUCGGAGAUGGGUCUCAGUGCCCUGGACACCGCCCAGCGUGCUGCGCUGAUGGUGAUCUCCAUCCUCUCUUCAAAGGGUGUUGGAUGACGAAGAUUCUGUGAAUCAGAGCAUCGAUCAAGUUAUGAGCCUGUUCGGAACAGCCGGCAGCGGCUGCAGCUGCAGCUGCACUAGCACAAGAAGCUGAUGCUGAAGCUGGAUCUUUCGAAAAACAAGCUGAAGCUGAAGCCAAUGUACUAGGAUUAGCUCUCUGUUUGUUCUGCAAGAGGUGAAGUAUGUGCAGAUCACAAGGCUAGCCAGCUGCUUACCUAGGCUACGCAGAUGACUGGAGGUGCCCUGCGUGGUCGGCACCGGGUUGGAGUUGGAGCCUUGGAGUGGAGGCUGACAAAGACUCUGCAGCUGCACCACCGAGUUGGAGCGCGCAGACGUCAAGUGGUGAGUGUACAGAGGAACUCAACUCUGUUUCUGUGGGAGGAAUGCGAGAGACAACAACUCUGUCAGAUGGGAGCUGUGAGCCUAUGAAUGCAAGCGCGUGUGUGGUUUUCCCAGGGAACGUGAGAUGAUUGAUUGCAUGUGAGGCUAGAUAUUUCUAAACUCCUUUUUUUUACAGCACUCGAGUGUGAAACAGAGCAUGGAUUCUAGCUUACCUACGCAGAACACGGAGUUGGAGUGGAUGCAGCUGCACCAAGGAGUUUCAGCGGCCAAGAUGCGAAGUGCAGUGUUACUCUCGAAGAGGAAUGCAAGAGAGAACUCUGGGCAAGCAGCUUGUGCCAGGAGUUGGGCGGUUGUUGGAGAUGUGAAUAUAAGCGUGUGUGGGUGUUUCCUUUCCCUGUUUGUUCAAUUAUUGUCCUUAUGCUGCACUUGUUGCUUUCUCGGUUUCAAUGCAAAGGCACUUUUUCCUUGUCAAAAAGAAAAAUGCAAAGGCACUUUCUCGUGGUGCUCCAACGAGACAAAGCAAGGAUUCCUUCCCUGUUUGUUCAAUUAUUGUUGCAUUGAAAUUCUCUGUGUUCUGUAACCAAGCAGAAGCAGCAGGCGCAAGUGCGCAACGCACCCCACCACGCACUUGUGGAUGGAACCACGAUGGAGGAAGGCUCUGCCAGCCGGACGUCGCAGCAUCCAAUUCGCUCGUCCCAACCUAACCUCAUGUACGUUGGAUUGGAGUCACACGCGUCCAAUAGAAGGACCUCCAUUAUGCAUGCAAGUUGGGAUCUAAGACAUGUUGAGCCGAUUCCGCACUGUCUCUCAAAUCUGCAGUCUGAACUCUGAAGAGGCCAAGUGUCCAAGUUUGGUAGACAACAGAGCUUCAAAUUCAGUGUGUUUAAUUUUACAUAGAUUGACUCUUAAAAUUCAGGUUCAGUGUUCUUGAGAGUCAGCGUUGCUCAGCUGAUACUGUGAUGUGUCAUGUGACUCUACUUUGAAAAGCAGGGCCCUUUGCCUUAAAGACAAACUGGACCUAUUUUAUUGCUCUUAUGUUCAUUUAUUUUAUUUUAUAUUAUAGCGAGAUCCAUCUAGAAAGCAGUCACUGGAAAUGCUAGCAGAACAGGACCUUUGACACUUAUCACUAGCACUAUUUCAUUCAGUCUUGUAUCUCAUGUGCUUUUGCAUGCUAGCCAUUUGGCCUACAAUGUCAAAACGCAGCACUUGCAUAUUCUAUUAUUUCUUGCGACGCACUCUUGCAACUUCUCUUCAGCAUAAUAUAAGUUUGAAUCUCUAUCUCAAAUUUGGCAGGACAAUUCAGUCUAGAGAACACCCUAUGUUUCUCCUCAACUUAGACACUACCUGGCAGAAUUAGUUGACCACCUCGUCAGUUAGCAAUGGGUCAUCAUUUUGAAAGGGUCCAUGUCAAAGACUGCCUAACCAUGCAAAGAACACAGAGGAAAAAAAAAUCUUAUUCAGUGAUAUCAACUGCAUUACUUCCUACUCCAGCCUUGACAUUUAACAGCGAAGAGCACAAACUUGAGAGGUCAUAUAAGGCAGUAAUAGAUGUUCCAUAACUUACUUCGAUUGUGGCCGUGUCAACGUUUUCUUGUGAGAAUAGAAGAAAUCCAAGACUGGUGAAUACCUGAAAAAGCGUGCAGAUAAUUAUGAAAAGUCAUGAUAAUAAUUCAGUCAAAGACAAAACACGAAUGGAUUCAAUGCCAGUAGUAUUUGGGUCCACCACGAAAUUCCAUCAGUUGUUUGCAGUAACCAUUUGCAUGUGUAAUGAAAUAGUAAAAAAAUUAUCAUCCAAAGGGGAAAAAAAGGUAGGCCAAAGUUUCAAUAAGUAAACUACCUCAAAAUGUGUCAGGGAUCCAUUUUCUGAUUGCACUGAUUCAUCAAUAGCUCCUUAGAGCCUCAUCAGAAAGAUCACUCAGCAGUCCAACUGGGACAGGGCCUUCAUCAUUUCCAACAGAAAUCCAUUCACGUAUUAAUUGUUGGAAGACGAGGACUGAAUAGAAGACAGAAUUUCAGAGGUGUCAAAAACCAGCGAGACACAAUGGAACUGAACAAUUACAGACCAUCUAGAACAGAAGAUUACCCUUGAAUACCUUGACAUAGAUCUCAAAAUGAACAAUGACAGACAAUAUUCAAAACUAAUCUGUUAGAAAACAAGACCUAGCUCCCUACGAAUUGAAUACGAGAGUGCUAAGUCAGAUAAAGGUACUUUCUAUGGAUACAUCUUGGUACUUAAGACAUAUCACAUUUCUGUGGAUACAUCUUGGUACUUAAGACAAAUCACAUCUUGCUCCUGCAUACCUCUUUGAUGCACCACGAAGUUUCUGUCAUGAUAUUGGAGAGUUAAGCCAGAUUCCACACAACAAUUGCAAGCGAUUGACGAAGCCGAUGGAGAGUUAAGAUUACACCUGGAGUAACAGCCCACAUUGUAGCCUUGAACCCCAUGAUUCAUGAACCAUGAUACUGGACAGGAACAAAAGCAGUAGAACCUUCCCUACAAGCACAACUAUUCAGUUAAUCCCUGCAAUCACCGUACUAGCCGUCGAGACGAGGGAACGGGAGCCUCACCGGGCAGUGGGUGUGGGGAGUCACCGAGCCAGCAGAGGAGGCGGACCAUACCGGCCGAGGUCGAAUCCUUCGUCGGAGUCGGUGCCAGCGCCGCGCGGUACGUCCGAGCGCUCGUAGUUGCGCAGCCGCUCCGUGUACUCGAAGAAAUCCCCGGUCGGGCCCUCCGCUUCGCCUCCGUGCUCCGGCAAUAGCAGACAGGUCGCGGCGGGUGCUGCUCCCCAGCAGCAUACCAUUCGGGAGGCCGAGUGCGGCGGAGAAGCGACCUACUAUCCGUCGCGUCCGUGCUGCAGCGGCGGGAGGCGCCGGAGUCGCGGACGUGAUGCUCUGAUGGAGAUGCAGCGAAUUGCAGAUUACAGACGAACGGGCCUCCAGGUGGUGCGGAAGUGGGGAGGACGCCGGAGCCGGGGAGACUGCACUCUUCCGGGGAGGCGAUUAACAAUAUCUACUCCAAUCGAUGGCUGAAUGUCAGCAACGCAUUUGCGACAUGGGAUGGAAGAGCUUGACUGACUAAACUCUCCGGGGAGGCGUUGAAACUGGAUUGAUUUCAUGAUUGAUGGACUUUUGUGUGAAUUAAUAUGUUGCAGGUGACACGAGACAAAUUGGUGAUGCCUUAUCAUCACUCACGAACCUGUAUCUUGCAAAUCUAUGGAAAACUUCAAGGGUUUUGCCUGGCAUACUGAACUCUGUGAUAUACUGAUGCCAAGCCUUCCAAAUCCAAAAUUACUCCAAAACUUCAGGCUUCAGUUUUGUGAAGUACAUUCCGCCGGGGCCUGCCUGCAACACAUUAGUAACAGUGCUCUUUUUUGUUUGAACCUAACUUCCUGUAGAGAAUGGGGGAGGACAAUUAUACAAGCAAGCAGGUAUAAGAAAACAAUACAAACUUUGACACGAUGCUUUUACGUGGAAAAAACUCCUCAAAAUGAGGAGUAAAAAACCACGGGACCAUCACGGUCCACUGCCAAAUUUUCCAUUAUGAGGAUGAUGAUGAAUACAAGUAGUCGUUACAAUAUCAAAAGACAAAACUCUUGCACGACCAAACAUGACCACAAAAGUAAUCAAGAGUUAACCACUUCACCAAGAAAAGGCCACACUGCUGAAUUUGACAACCUGAAGCAGCCAAUCCAUUUUGCACGCUGCUGAAAAGAAAAAAAAUUGCGCUGAUCAGUUGGAAAGUUUGGAAAACAGAUGGGAACCUAUCAAGUUCAGAUGUAGUAGUAGGUGAGGUUCACGAUGUAACUCACCAAUGGUACAUCAUUUGAAAUCUUGGUGCUGAUGUAACAGCAUCGAUCUGGCUUUCUAUUAUCCCAACCUAUGCAUUUUGUAAAGCUCUUGAUACCAGGAGCACAAGAGAUGUGCCCGGUCACCAAUAACUUGCUCAAUGCCUGCUGAAAAUGGUCCACCAAUCACAACCUGACAAAAAAAUGUUUGAUGUCCAGGUUACAUGCAUGUUGUCUAGGACCGAACCCAAGGUGGGAUUUUUUUUUAAAAAAAAUAUCAAUUGUAUUAUCCUCAUUUGAAUCAUGUAUGUUACGAAAUUCAUAUAUGAGUAGAGGUCAGAUUUAAGAACAAAAUUGCAGCACAGAUUCUAAUGAUUGGAGAGGACUGAAGAUAGCUAAAUUAGAGGAAACUGGAAGAGGGAGAGUUCCUAAUACUGCUGCAGUGUUGCUCCUUGCAUGCAAUGCAAUGUGACAGGGUAAAGGUUCCAUUGAUCAGAUAAUAACAAAGUAAAAUGGCCACCAAAAAAAAUUAAGCUACUUCACAUUCAGCAACUAACAUGGGUGAUCCUUUGGUGGAACCUUUUGGUAAAACAUAGUGCCAAAAAAAAAGAAGUGUUUGUUACCUUGGAUUAGUCUCGGAACUUAACUAUGGGUAUUGUUCCUUGCAGCUUCCGGCACUGCUUCUGUAGCUUCUCGUGGCUAUCCGUGACAUCUAGCAUUUGAAGUGAAUUCGGGAGGCUGCCCUCAUGCAGCGACCUGAUAGCAGGACAGCGGUGGAUCACUAAUAUCUUCAGUGAACUUGGAAGGCUUCCCUUUGGUAGCGACCGGAAGCCAUCGCAACGAACUAUGUGUAGUUUUGUCAGCGAACUUGGGAGGGUGCCCUUGGGCAGUGACCGGAUGGCAUCACAGCCCCGUAUUUCUAAUUCCACCAGGGAACUUGGGAGGGUGCCCUUGGGCAGCGACCGGAUGGCCUUACAGAACGAGAUAUGUAAUUCCACCAGUGAACUUGGAAGGCCGCCCUUGGGUAGCGACCGGAAGGAGCCACAGAACCCGAUCUCUAAUAUCUUGAGGUUGGGAAGCCCACCUAACCCUUCUGGCAGGGACUGCAGCCUAGAGUACCCCAAAAUUCGAAGAACCUGGAGAGAGGUGAGCAUCUGCAGGGCCUCCGAUUGCUCCAUUGUGAAGUGCUCCAAGUCGUCAUUCCCACCAAGCUCUAGCUCGGUGAGAGAGGAAGAGAAGUGGCCACCGACGGGCACAGCAACGGCGCCCCCUGCUUCCCCAGCCGUUUCGAGCGCUUGCAGCCUGGAGCUAUGUUGGGGAAGAACUUGUUCGCACAUCCGCGAAGGCUCAGGGACAUCAAGUAAGUUGUGCGCUCCCCAGAUUUGUAAUUCCUUGAGACGACCCUGGGCGAGGAGAUGCCAUAGGUCCUCAGAUCUUAGACCCCCACAAUCAUGUAGGACCAAUUCGGUCAGAUUUGUGAGAGGAGCCAGCGUCAGCAUGCCAUCCUUCACACCCUCAAGCACGAGGGACUGCAGGGAGGUCGAGAAAGGGCAGUAAAAGGAGGGGAGCAAACUGGAGGAUAGAAGCGUGGGGCAAUCCCAUAUAAACAGUGAUCUCAGAGAGCUCUGAUUUUGGAGCAACUCCUUCAAUUGGAGGGGCAUGGGCAGCUGUCCUCCUGCUGCAGCUUCUAUUUCCUCUGCUUCUCCUGCCUGCUUGUUACCACACCUCUGUAGGUCCAACGUUGAGAGGUUAGGGAAAUAAGAGAUUAGCUGUAACAAUUCCUUCACAGUGGCACCACAAUCUGAUAUCUGGAGCUGUUCAACUGGGAACUCGAAUGGGGAAUCAUUCUCACCUUCAGUUGGCCACAGGACACUAGUACAGUGACUUAUAUGCAGGGUCUUCAGAGAAUUUAGCAGUUGUAGGUGAUGUAGAGGCACAAGUGGGCAUUCACUGAUCUUGAACUCCUUUAUUUCACUCAGAUUAGUAAAGGCCAAUACAUUCCAGAGUUCACGAUCAAGAGCAUCCUUUUUGAACUGUACACUCAUUUUCUGUUCCUUUCUGCUGUAAUCUAAGUUCUCAAUACUCUUACCUACUUUCCACAGUCUAGCUUCGGACAGAGAACUACUCCAAGGAAUUGGUGGCACUGACACUAGUUCCUUACACUCUGAAAUGUAUAUCUCCUGUAGGUUGGGAAACAUGUGCGGAGAUGGCAACUCUGUAAGUUCAAAACAAUCCUCAAUAGUGAGUACCUCUAGCUUAGAGAAAGGGCUAUCUACACUCCAUUUUUUCAGAGUUGCUAUGUAGACAAGUUCUAGCCUCUUCAGAUUCUGAAAGGUUUGCCCUGCGACGCUUGGCUGCUCUUCGCCGACCAUCAACAACUCUCCUAGCAGAGGUGGAAGACUUUUCCAGGCUACACCUUCAAGGCAAAGGCAUUCCAAAUUCUUAACAGAGUGGUCUGAACAUAGCCAGGUAGGGUAUGUGUGACCUCCAUGUCCUCUAAUGCACACUUCUUGAAGAUUAUUGUGUGGCUUAAGGCAUUCAAGAACAUCUUGUUUCUUUUUUGGAUCCCUAUCAGACUGGUAUCUAUCCCAACCUAAUAUUAAUCGAUUUAAGUGUUGCAAGUGGACUAAUUUUAAUUCUUCCAGCUCUGUUGCACCACCAACCUUUUCAAGAUUACAAAUCUCCAAUGACCCAUGGAGCUGUAUCAAUUUCCCCAAUUGGUUCAAUUCAAAACCUUGUUUUUCUCUUUUGACCUCAAAUCUCCUUAUCUCUUGUAUAGAUUUAAGUUUCCCAACCUCAACAAUUCCACAAUGAUAUGAUUGAUUUCCCACAAGAAAAUGACGAAUUUUCACUAGGUUGCUCAUAUCUCUUGUAGAAGAGCACAUCUCUUCUGUGUCUAUACGAGGAAAAGCGCCGCAUUCUUUUAUAUCUAGGACCAACAAGUUAUAAAAUCUUGAUAUACUACCAAAUAAACUUCUUAAAUUUAAUACAUAACCCUUUAUCCUUAAGUAACGAAGAUGGACAAGUUGUGAGAAACUGUGCAGCAGAACCUCCACAUCAUACGAUGCACCAGAUAAGAAAAUGACACGAAGGGUUUUUGCAUCCCGAAACAUACCACUAAAUAUCUUGCAAAAACUUCCAUGGUGAUCUCCAAAUAACAUCAAAGUACGUAGGUUUCUAGCUUUCAGUCUUUUACCAAGUAUAUCAAGCCCUUUCUUACAAUUUUCAAAGGUUGCUUUUUCCUCCACAUCUGAAUUAUUUAUGAUGAUGGACAUGUGAUGUAUAGAUGUAGGAAUUUGUAUUGACCCCACAUUAGCCCCUUGUAUGCUAAGACAUUCAUGUGCUGAAACAUUUCUUGCCAAGUCAUGGAGUAGGUCAUGUAUAACAUAAUAAGCGUGCCUAUCCUCUUUUUUUUCUUCCUGGAAGAAGCCAUAACUAACCAAGUCGCUUACAUAAUCUAGUCCAAUAUCCUCAACUCUCUUGUUUUGAUCGUCGGGGCCUAACAGCCCUUGUCCUAUCCACAAGUGGAUUAACUCUUCCCUUCCGAAUUCAUAAUCUUCAGGGAACAAGGCACAAUGGGAAAAACAUUGUUGUAGAUGAAAGUGAAGAUAGUUAUAGCUAAGCUUUAAUGCUGGCAUAAUAUCAUCCUCAUUGGCCUGAUAUUCCCAUUCUUUACUCUCAAGUACUCUUCUCCAAUGUUUUGGGGUAAGUUCAGUUUUCAGUAAUCUACCGACAGUUUUUACUGCAAGAGGGAAACCUUUCAAUCUCUUCACUAUUUUGUACCCGAAAUCAUGCAAAUUAGCAUGCCCUUCCCAUGUUUGUCGGUUACCAAACACACAUUCUUGGAAGAAACACAUGCAUUCUUCAUCACUUAACCGUUCUAAUCUUAUUUGACAGCCUACUGUUGCAACCAUUUGUGCCACCUUCGGAAUCCUUGUUGUGACUAUUGCCAUGUUACCUUUUGUUUGCAUUUUCUUAAAUGGGGCUAGCAGUUUUUUCCAUUCAUUUUCGUGAUCUGUCCACAUGUCAUCCAAAACAAGCAAGAACCGUUUGGACUGCAAUCUUUUUUCAAUCAGACCUUCAGCACUUUCAUUUCCAUUUUCAUUGUCAAGUUUAGGGAUUUGUUUUACGAUUUCUUGUGCCAACUUACUUGCACUGAAAUUCUGAGAGACGCAUACCCAUACCAGGACUUGGAAGUGGCUCUUUGCUUCUUCAUAUAUAUGUUGUGUGAGUGUUGUCUUCCCAAGACCCCCUGGACCAACUAUCGAAAGAACAGUGAGAUCAUCAUUGACAUGAUAUUUAGAGGUUAUUCCAUCUAUGACAUCCUUUUUCAAAUCAUCCCUCCCAUAUAACUUUGGCUCUAUAAUCUGUGGGGUGGUGGUUCUGGUGGUUUGGUUGAAAGCAGUGCCUUGUUGGGCUGAGAUGCCAGUGGAGGCUAUAGUUCCCUGCAGCUCCAGAUCUAGAAUUGUAGAGACCAUAGCACACACUGGCUUAAGCUGCUCAACUAUGUCCACCAUCCGUUUGGACAUGGCCACCCGAUCAAACUUGAGUUUUGGCUUUCUACGAUGGUGACACACCACAGAAGCACAGGAACAUGAGGGGAGCUUCAGCUUACUGACGACGGCCCCGGCCGUGUGGCGUGCGUUGAGGACAAGGCCCCCGACGAGACCUCGGACAUCGGCGUCAAUGGUCUCAUAGGUCCCGUCGAGCUCGUCUUGGAUGCGGAAGUACUCCAGCUCGUCUAGAACGUCAUCAGCAUCAAAUGCUUGGUUGCGGAGCUCCUGCAAGAGCUGCCCCAGUGCCGGGCUGCGGACAUCCCUGCCACGGGCGUUGUCUAGCAUCCCCUGGGCGUACAGGAGUUGUAGCUUGAGGGCGCGGAUGUUGGGGGCCAGCUUCGAAGAGGCUGCCCAAGACUCCAUGAGGCCAUCGGAGAUGGGUCUCAGUGCCCUGGACACCGCCCAGCGUGCUGCGCUGAUGGUGAUCUCCAUCCUCUCUUUCAAAGGAUGUUGGAUGACGAAGAUUCUGUGAAUCAAAGCAUCGAUCAAGUUAUGAGCCUGUUCGGAACAGCCGGCAGCGGCUGCAGCUGCAUCUGCACUAGCACAAGAAACGGUGCUGCGCGAGGCUUUGUUUGCAGCAACAGCUGCAGUGGCAAGAAGCUGAUGCUGAAGCUGGAUCUUUCGAAAAAGAAGCUGAAGCUGAACUAGCCAAUGUACUAGCAUUAGCUCGCUGUUUGUUCUGCAAGAGGUGAAGUAUGUGCAGAUCACAAAGCUAGCCAGCUGCUUACCUAGGCUACGCAGAUGGCUGGAGGUGCCCUGCGUAGUCGGCACCGGAUCGGAGACUGGAGCAGCUGCAACGAGAGUUGGAGCCUUGGAGGCCGCGGAUGUGAAGAGGUGACAAAGACUCUGCAGCUGCGGCACCGAGUUGGAGCGCGCAGACGUCAAGUGGUGAGUGUGAGAGACAACAACUCUGGGAGGAUGAGGAAGGUUGGGUGGCCUGUGAAUGCAAGCGCGUGUGGUUUUCUCAGGGAAGGUGAGAUGAUUGAUUGCAUGUGAGGCUAGAUAUUUCUGAACUCUUUUUUUUUUUACAGCACUCGAGUGUGAAACAGAGCAUGGAUCCUACCUUACAGCUUCAAAAGAUGGAUUAGCUUUUACAAAAGAUGGAUUAGCUUUUACAAAAGAUGGAUUGCUAUGAACUACAGCAAUUCAAUCCUGAAUUUCAGCUUGUGUUUGCACAAGCUGAAUUCCCCCUUGAAGCAAAGAAAUCAACUGAGACAAAUGUUGUAAUUCCGUUCAGUUAUUUGAACUCAUAUUAAAGCUUCUCCAGGACCUUAUUAACCUUGCUUGAAAUCAUGUCACAGUGUGAAAUCACCUGACUCAUGCAGUGAGGUCGGGUUCCAGCUGGUGCCACCGAAAUUGCAGGGCAGAAAUUAUUGUCCUUGCUUCCCUGUUUACUCAAUUAUUGUCCUUCACGUUGCUCUUGUUGCUUUCUCCUCUGUCUAUUCUUGCACAUGGAGCUCGUGGACCCAGCCAUGAAUUCAGCAUCUGUCUGGACGUCCCAGUGUCUUCAUGAAAAGACUUUAAACCUCAAGUGAACAGGACGUCCGACGACCAUUGACCUGGACCUGGACACGGAACCACAGCGAGCCGAUCCAAGAAGCCGCGGCCACAUCGAGCCGAGUAGAAGGAGCUCCUUUAACCAUGCAAUUCAAGAUGGGAUCGAAGAACCUUCAGCGAAUCAACUUGGACUGACUGACUGAACUGUGCAGUCUGAAGAGGCCAAUUGUCCAAAGUUUGGUAGCCAACAGGGCUUCACAUUCAGUGUGUUUAACAGAGCUUGACUCUGAAAAUUCAGGUUCAGGCCUUGUUUGGAUGUAGUCGGAUUCGCAUCAAUCCACAUAUAUUGGUGUGGGUUGGAGUGGAACUUGAACUAAAUUCCACCCCAAUCCACUCCAACACAUGUGGAUUGAGGUGAAUCCGACAACAUCCAAACAAGGCCUCAGUGUUCUUGACAGUCUGCGUUGGACAGCUGAUAUUUUGAUAUGUGAUUCUACUUUGAAAACCAGGGUCCUUUGCCUUCAAGACAAACUAGACCUAUUUUAUUGCUCCUAUGUUCAUUUGAUUUUAGAUUAUAGUGAGAUUGAGAUCCAUCCGGAAAGCAAUCGUUGAAAAUGCUAGCAGAGCAGAACUUUACUAGCACUAUUUCGUUCAGUCCUGUAUCUCAUGUGCUUUCGCAUGCUAGCCAUUUGGCCUACACUCUCAAAAUGCAGCAGUUGCCUGUUCUAUUCCUAGCGGCACACUCUUGCACACUUUGAUUCAGCAGAAUGUAAGUUUGACAAACUUAAUUUGGCAAGCCAAUUCAGUCUAGAGAACAACCUAUAUAUCGUCUCAACUUAGACAUUAUCUAGCAUAAUCAAUUGACAACCUCUUCAGUUAGCAAUUUGCCAUCAUUUUGAAAGGGUCCAUGUCGAGGACUGCCUAACCAUGCAAAUAACUCAUAAUAAAACUUUUUCUUGCUACAAUGACAUCAAUUGCGUUACUUCCUAUUCCAGCCUUAGACAUUUAACAGCGAAGAGCACAAAACUUGAGAGGUCAUAUAAAGGUGGUAAACUAGUAAUAGAUGUUGCAUAACUUACUUUGAUGAUGUCAGUGUCAACGUUUUCUUGUGACAAUAGAAGAAAUGCAGGAGCAGUAAAAACCUGCAAAAGCAUGGAGAUAAUUACGAAAAUCAUGAUAUUAAUUCGAUGAGAGACAAGACAUGAACAGAUUCAAUGCCAGUAGUAUUAGAACUGCAUUCACCGCACUAGCCGUCGAGUCAAGGGAACGGGAGCCUCACCGGGCAGUGGGUGUGGGGGGCCACCGUGCUGACAGACGAAGAGGCGCAUGCUGCCGACGUCGAAUCCGUCGUCGGAGUCGUUGCCGGCGCCGCCGCAAGACGCCGAGUGCUCAUAGUUUUUUUUUUUUUUUUUUUUUUGAACUUCGAGUGCUCAUAGUUGAGCAAGCGCUCCAUGUACUCGAAGAAAUCCCCGGGUGGACCCUCCGCCUCGCCUCCGGGCUGCGGCCAUAGCGGACAGGCCGCGGCGAGUGCUACUCCCUAGCAGCAUACUUCGUGGGCGGCGGCGGGGAAGCGACCUAACAUCCGUCGUGGCCGUCCUGCGGCGGCAGGAGGCGCCGGAGUCGUGGCCUCGAUGCUCAGAUGCAGCGAAUCAAGCAGGAAGGAAGGGAGGGCGCCGGAGUCGGGCGGCAGAGGACGUGUGCGAGGAGGGAGACAACGAUGGGAGCAGAGGAAUCCCUGAAGAUGGAUUGAUGAUUUAUCUGCUCCACUCUCCAAUGAAUGCUGAACGUCAGCAAUGCCUUUGCCAUAUGGGAUGGAAGACAUCUUCAACAAAUUCAGCUUGACUGACUGAACUCUGCAUCUUCUUCAGCAAGUGUCGAAGUUGGUAGACAGACACAGCAGGGAUUCACAUUCAGAGUGUUCUCAUGAACAUUAUCCAAAUUGAUAACAAAAGUUUCAGAUAGAAUAAAUUCAACCUUUACAUUCAUGAUUGCACUUGACUGGAGAAUGUGCCGCAACCUGCUUGGCACACACACGUAUACAACAUCAUCUUUUGACCAAUAAACUGCUUCAAGCGAAAUAAUAACAGUGAAAUAUUUGAAAUCGAAACGUUUUGUUUUUAACAUCUUCGUUGUCUAAGUCUGAGAGACCCCAAAUUGCUCGAUGGUAUGCUUGAGUAAAUUCAGUCCAUUUCCAUCCCAUCUGUGGCUGUCUGCAACAUGUUAGUACUUAAUAUGUUGCAAAUCUAUGGCUGUCUGCAACGUUUUAUUUCAAUGACAGUUCAGCCUACUGAAACUCAAAUUGCCUACUGCAACGUUUUAUGGCGGCGAGGGCUGACAUGAGACAAAUUGGUGACGGCUUCUCAUCACUCACGGACCAGUAUCUUGCAAAUCUAUGGAAAUCUUCAGGGGUUGUCUAGCAUACUGAACUCUCUGGUCUAUUGAUGCCAAUCCUGCUAGACCCCAAAUUACUCAAAAUCUUCAAGCUUCAGUUAUGUGAAGUACAUUGCAUUAGUGGCACUGCUCUUUUUUGUUUGAGCUCCACUUCCUGUGGAGAAUGCAGGACAAUUAUAAGAGCAAAUAGGUUUAAGAAACACAACACAAUGUGCACGCUUUGGCACAAUGCUUUUACGUGGAAAAAAAACUACUCAGAAUGAGGAGUAAAAAACCACGAGACCAUCACAGCACACUGCAAAAUUUUCCAUUAUGAGGAUGAUGGGUACAAGUAGUCUUUACAAUAUCCAGAGAUAAUACCAGAAGCUGAAAACCAUCAUUAUAAUACCCUUGUAUGACCAAACAUAACCACAAAAGUAAUCAAGAGCAAACAGGAGUUGACCACUUCACCAAGAAAGGUCAUGCUGUUGAAUCUGACAACCAGAAGCAGCCAAUCCAUUUUGGGCACUGCAGAAAAUGGCAACCCAAACUAACAGAAUCUCUCUCAAACUUGAUGUUCCCGCACAGCACUAACACACUAGUUUUCCUGCAGCUCACUCGAAUUAGGUUUCAUUUCUUUCCCAACAAACAAAUUAAAGUAUUGCUCCCAGUAACCUCGUAGAUGUUAUACAUGGAUGUGGCUUCAAAAGAAAGAGGUUACACUUGUUAUCCCUGCAGAAGAGGGCACGCCAGCGAUCCACUGGAUCACUGUAUCAAAAACUUGUGCAAAAUAAAAAUUAAUUAAUUCCAGGAGUUAACUACCUUCACACAAAUGGAAAAGGUUGUUUCUAUAUUUUCUUUGAUAUUCAUACCCACUGGAACCAAAGUGUUAAGCCCCACUUAUAGCACACUUUCAUCUUGAUUUUGAUGGCCUUGCUUCAUCAGGUUUGAGUUUUGUAUUUCACGGACUUGCAGCAAUAACUUCUUGUUCCUCUUCUGUAGCGACUAAUCUCAGUGCUGCAGAAAAAACAAAUAUCAAAAACAAGGUCUGCUAUUUUUUCAGCCUAAACUUUUCAACACCCAUCAUGUGUCUAAUAUAGAUGUAAAAUAGAUGAAGAAAUUCCUAGAUGUGUAUUGGCCAUUGUUGGGCUGUCCCAGGCCAUGUGCCAGGUGGGCGACAGCAUAGGACCGGCAGAAACAUGGAGGCUGAAAAUUUAACCUCUUUACUACUUAGUAUUAUUAGUUAUUAGCAAACCUGAUCAUGCCUCCAGUUAAUGUUUUCUUUUUCUUAUUAUGCGACAACAUUCCAGAAAAAAACACUGUGGUUUCCUUCAUUCCUCUCAAUCCCUUUCCAUAUCUGUCCUGUUGCAGACCAAUAGUUUCCCAUUUUUUAUGAGACAAAAAUAACAGAUCUACUCCAAAUUCUCCUCCCUCUCUUAUUAAUUUGUGAUGUCAUUAGUUUGAUACUUUGAAGUCGUAGUAGUUUAUUGACUAAAUUACCCUAAUGUGGAAAGUUCGGGGCCUAAAUUAGAGUUUGGCACAUGCCCCCAAACUUUCAGUCAUGACCUGCAUGUGUAGCUAGUGUCAGAUUGUCUGUAACCAAAAUAAAAGGUAUUGGUAAGCAUAACAAAGUUCAUGUCUAUCUUAUCCUAUAAAUUUGCUGAACACAUAUAGUAUCGUACUAUCCAUAUUUUCACGUCGGUUACUGAAAAUUUACAUGUUCCCAACAUUGUCAAAUCAUAAACCAAGCAAUGUUGUACCAGAGUGCAGAGGGUCAUAGCAAAAUUGUACCUGGAGUGCAGAAGCUCGUGUAGGGAACAACACAGGGAACACGACCAAGCAAGCCAUCUUCAUCACAUUCCCCCUUGUAUACCUUCCGCACCCGACCAGACUUUAGAUCAAAACUGAAUAGCACACCAUUAUUCAUUCCCACGAAAAAGACAUCAACACCAUGCGCAAAGCCAAGGAAGCCAUAUGAUGGAGCCGGCAUCGACUGGAAGCAACUUCUGAAGCUCAAUGACUCUAGUCCGUGUCCAUCCCACGCCUCCGUUUGGAUUCACCUCCAUUGACCAGAGCAAGAGUCUGGCGGCCAUAUCCACUCUUGCAAAUCCCAGCCCACCACCCUCCAUCUCCAUGAGCGCAAUAGCACAAUUGGAGGCUGGAGGUAAGUGAACCACAGAUGUCUCCGAUGUGGCCAAAUCAAAACCAAGGACCCUACUGCCAUUAUCAAUCGAGAAGUAGAGUGUGUUCCCCACAAGGGCAGUAGGCACUAGAUCGACGCUGCACUUGGGGACCAGAGUCGGCUCGCUCCAGCAGGCUGCCGCCGAUGAGUAGACGCGCAAGGACCAGCGCUGGACCUGGCUGUAGCUGUAGUACUUGGUGACAAAGCGAACGACGACGAAGGCUGUACCGUCGGCCGUGGGCUCGCGGAGCACAGUCGCGUACCACUCGUCCCGUUCGCAGUCGUCCAGGACUGGUAUCUCCCACCGCUCGCCCGUUGUCGGGUCCCAGAUGACGAGGGCGUCGACCUCGUCGUCACCCAGGACGAAGUGGAGGACGACGAGGCCGUGGCGGGCGUCGAGGACGACGCAGUCGCGGACCUCCUCCUCGCAGCCGGUGUGUCUCGGGCGGAAAGAGGAGGUGGGGACGAACCAGGCGAACAAGGGGUUGCACAGGAAGCCGAGCAGUGGUGCUGUGCGGUGGAACUCCAUGAACCGGCGGCGGAAGCUGCGGGCACAGACGAUGCGGCACCAGGGCUUGCAGACGAGCGCGGCGCGGACGAGGCUCGCGGGAUCGGCCGGUGGGAGGCGGAGGAGUAUCUCUUCGACGACGUCGGCCGGCAGCUCCAUACUGCUACAGAUCCGGGGAGAGCAGCGGCGCAAGCGCGAGGCUGAGGCGGAGGCGUGGGUGCCUGCUGCAACAGCGGAGUUUUUUAUUUUAUUUUAUUUUUUUAAGCUGCGUCAGCGGAGAUGGGCUGCGACGGGCCGUUCAGCUUCUCGAGUGGAAAGGCCUUCGAUUUUUCUGUUCCAUUUUUUGCUGCACAGCCCACGGGAAUUCUAAUGAAAUCUUCAGGGGUUGCGUUGCGUGGCAUACUGAACCCUGUUGUCUGUUGAUGCCAACCCUAUUAGACAAAUUGCUCCAAAUGUUUCUACUGCAUUCUAUCCAGGCCUGCCCGCAACGCAUGAGUGAUGGUAACUUCUUGUCAUCAUUCACGUUUCCUGUGUGUGAUGCUAUGGCUGAUCAAGGCACAAAAGCUGGCAAUGAGGUUUAGCAUCUUUGAGGGUUAUACUAAUCUUUAAAAGAGACUGGUCCAUGUCACCAUGGAGAAGUUAUCAAUGUCGUUGAGGGUUCAUAGUAAUCUGUAAAGGAUGAUGGAGUUUAGAGUAGACUAGUGAAGGUCCAAGUGCUCGUUUUGUUUGAGCCCCACUUCCUGUACCUGUAGCAAAUGGGGCAGGAAAAUUAUAAGAGCAAGGAGGUUUAAGAAAACAACACAAUGUCCACACUUUGAUAAUGCUUUUAUGUGGAAAAACUCCUCAAAAUGAGGAGUAAAAAACCACGGGACCAUCACGGUCCACUGCCAAACUUUCCAUUAUAUGAGGAUGAUGAAUACCAUGUACUCUUUACAAUAUCUAGAGAUAAUACCAGAUCUGAAAACCAUCAUAAUAAAACCCUUGCACGACCAAACAUAACCACGAAUGUAACCUUGAGCUAACAGGAGUUAACCACUUCACCAACAUAAGGUCAUGCCGUUGAAUCCUGAAGCAGUCAAUCCAUUUUGCACGCUGCUGAACAAUGGCAACGCAAACUAAAAAAGUCUCUCUCAAACGUGAUGUUCUUCUAGCACAGUACACAAAUUUUUCCACAGCUGCGGCUCAAGUAAAACAUGUUUUACUGAACUUCUUUUCAAGUCUAUCUUUGGAGCAACGUGGCAUCUAAACUUGUCCGUGCAAAGGUGUUUUUCUCCCUUUUGAACCCCAGUAUCUUGAACAUGACUUAAGACCAUGCCAGUUUCUAGGCUCAUUGAUGCUGCUGCAACUGCAAUGGAACUAUGAAAUGACUGCACCUCUACCAGUUGCAGCAUCGCUACUCACUUGGUACAAAGAACAUCCAUAGUUCAGAACAAUCCCUUUCCUAAAACAGAAGACAAAUUGAAUAACUGAAGUCACUUAUUUGCAUAAUGUCACGGACAUAAUAUUAAUCUCUAUGUAUCCUAAUGUCACCACAUUGACAGAGAAGCAAAUACUAUUCAUUUUCAAAAAUUGUAAAAUAUCUAUAUUUUCAUUAUCUUCAAAUUCAGUUAUGAGUGUUCAUUUUAUAUUAUCAGAAAAAUCAGUAUGUUUCAUAGAGGCUUCCAACAUUAAGACCUAUUUGUAUAAUUAUGUACUGUAAUAUUGUAUGGGCAUGGCUAUUUAAAAGGUCAAAAAGGGGACACAGCAGCCAGAUAGAUCUAAAUAAUGAAACAAGCUACAACGUCAUAUCAGUAUGGCUCGGUGACUGACUGACGCUCCUAACAUAACCAGAGAGAGAGAGAGAGAGAGAGAGAGAGAGAGAGAGAGAGAGAGAGAGAGUUUCAAAUGUUCAGCCUUCUAAUAUUUUAGCCCCAUUCAUUAGCAAGCUUCAAGUAAGAAAACAAAUUUUACAUGCUAUUAACACUAGAGAAAUGUCACUACGCAUCUCCUUGCUCUCCUAUUCCUGACACAAGGCCUUCCUUGCUGAGCGAUGGACCGGCCAAACUGGCCAACCUGUUAAUGCGCUCUGGGGUUUCAGCGCCGCUGAGAGAUGCCGCCGAUGGAUGUCCACACACUCGAUGCACCUGGCCGCGUGCCGCGGCUAUCCAUGAUUCUUUCAGGGACGAGGUUGCUGGCGUCGCGCAGGAGGUUCCUCUAGGGAUGCAAUGCGAUGCUCGCCUCCGUCAGUAGCACGGCAUCAGGCAGGCAUUCCACCUGCAGCAAGUUUCAGAGAAUAAUGUGGUAUCAAUUUCAGCAAUAGCUUCCACUUACGUGCCUGCCUGCCUGCCUGUCUGCCUGGAUUAAUUUCAAAUGCUCAGCAAGAGAUGACUAGUCCCACUACCUGAGUGAAGCUGCUAGCAAUCGCAAGAUGCUCCUUGUCAAUAUCCAUGCUGACAACAAGCGCUGGAAGCCUGUUAUGGUCUCACGGUUUCUUUCACUUCUAUACGUCUACGGCCUCUGCAGAUGCCCCCAUAUGUGCUGAGACAUAGUUCAAGCAUCAGCGACAACUGACGCUACUAAGAAGGCGAGGGAUGUCAAUAGCAGGUUAUAGCAGAGGUUAACCUCCAUCGACGAGUACAGUGGAUGCGCCCCGAUUGAGUACUGACGCUCCCUCUGCUGUCAGAAACUGGCUCCUCCGAGGAAGUUGAGUCUUCCUCACGCGGGUAGUUGCUCCAGCAAGCGGCGAUGCCAUGGCGAUGCUCGUUUCCGUCAGUAGCAUGACGUCAGGCGUUUAACCUGCAGCAAGUUUCAGAUAAAAUGUGGCAUCAACUUCUGCAUUAAUUUUCAAUCAUGCGCCGGCAAAACCAAGGGAUGGCUAGUCCCACUCAGUACCUGAGACAAGCUGCUCAGCAAACACAAAAGAUGCGCCUUGUGAUUAGCCAUUCCGACAACAAGCGCUAGAGGCCCUUCUGGUCAGUCUCACAGUUUGUAUCAAGUCUGAUAAUGCCUUUGCAGAUGACUUAGUGCUAGUUAGUAUGGGCUGGGACAUAGUUCAAGUAUCAGCGACUGACUGGUGCUACUGAAAGGGAAGGUCGGAAGGAUAUGUCAUGAGCAGGUUACAGCAGAGGUUAACCUCCACCGAUGGAUGAGUACAUACAGUGGAUGUGCCAUCCUCCUAGGAAGUUGGGUCUCCUCUAAGUCGGCUUGGAUCGAAACGGCAGAGAUAUCCCAUCGUUAACUUACCAAACCCAUGCAAUAGACAGGAAAAAACACAACAGUGAAUGCGUGUGAUAAACGAAAAACAGACAAAUGAAGGAUCAAAUGUUCAGCCUUAUAAUAUUUCAGCCUCAUUCAUGAUCAAUCUUAACUUUGGAGAAAUGUCACUUCGAUGACACUGAAUGGAUGGACUGUCAGCAAAUUGGCUUGGAAAUAUGGUUACCUUGACUAGUACGGAGACAAAGACCUGCGCAAGCAGCUGUGACAGUGUUCCAGCGCUGAUGACCUCCCAGCAGCUGGAGGUAUACAUCAUCCAAUCCAACCGACUGAAAAGGGAAGUUUGCGCUGAUCAGUUAGAAGAUUUGAAAAAACAGAUGGGAGCCUAUCACAUUCAGACUAAGUAGGUUACGUCGCGAUGAAACUCACCAAUGGUACAUCAUUUAAAAUCUCGAUGCUGAUGUAACAGCAUUGAUAUAUGGCUUUCCAUUAUCCCAACUUAUGCAUUUUGUAAAGUUCUUCAUGCCAGGGUCACAAGCAGAUAUCACGGGAGAUUGCAUCGUCAAGAAUGCCCUGUAACGAAAAAUUUGCUCAAUCUCUGCUCAAAAUGGUCCACCAAUCACAGUCUGACCAAAAAAAAUGUUUGAUAUCCAGGUUACAUGUUGUCUAGAACCUAAACCAAGAUGGAAUAAAAAAAAAACCCUGAAACGUAGUAUCAUUGAUUUGGACCAUGUAUGCUAUGUCAAGCAAUUCAAAUAAGAGUGAAGAUUUAAGAACAAAGUUGCAGCACAAAUUCUAAUGAUUGGAAAGGAUUAAAGAAGCUAAAUCAGAGAAAACUGGAAGAGGGAUGGUUCCUAAUACUGUUACAGUGGUGCUCUUUGCAUGCAGUGCAAUGUAACAAGGUAAGGUGCCACUGAUCAGAUAAUAACAAAGUAAAAUGGCCACCAAAAAAAAUUGAGCUACUUCACAUUCAGCAACUAACAUGGGUUAUCCGUUGGUGGAACCUUUUGGAAAAAAAAUAGUGCAAAAAAAAGGAAGUGUUUGUUACCUUGGAUUAGCAGCGUCGGAACUUAACUAUGGGUAUUGUUCCUUGCAGCUUCCGGCACUGCUUCUGUAGCUUCUCGUUGCUAUAACUGACAUCUAGCAUUUGAAGUGAAUUCGGGAGGCUGCCCUCAUGUAGCGACCUGAUAGCAGGACAGAAGCGGAUCUGUAAUAUCUUCAGUGAACUUGGAAGGCUUCCCUUUGGUAGCGACCGGAAGGCACGGCAACGAAUUAUGUGUAGUUCUGUCAGCGAACUUGGGAGGGUGCCCUUGGGCAGUGACCGGAUGGCAUCACAGCUCCAGAUUUGUAAUUCCACCAGGGAACAUGGGAGGGUGCCCUUCGGCAGAGACUGUAUGGCCUUGCAGUUGCUGAUUUGUAAUACUACCAGUGAACUUGGAAGUCCGCCCUUGGGUAGGGACCGAAAGCAGUCACAGAACCGGAUCUCUAAUCUCUUGAGGUUGGGAAGCCCACUUAACCCCUCUGGAAGGGACUGCAGCCUCGAGUACCACCCAAUAUGAAGAACCUGGAGGGAGGUGAGCAUCAGCAGGGCCUCCGAUUGCUCCAUUGUGAAGUGAUCCAAGUCGUCAUUCUUACCAAGCCAUAGCUCGGAGAGAGAGGAAGAGAAGUGGCCACCGAUGGGCACAGCAACGGCGCCCCCUGCUUCCUCAUCCGUUUCGAGCGCCGGCAGCCUGGAGCUAUGUUGGGGAAGAACUUGUUCGCACAUCCGCGAAGGCUCUGGGACAUCAAGUAAGUUGUGCGCCCCAUAGAUUACUAAUUCCUUGAGACGACCCUGGGCGAGGAGAUGCCAUAGGUCCUCAGAUCUUAGACCCCCACAAUCAUAUAGGUCCAAUUCGGUCAGAUUUGUGAGAGGAGCCAGCGUCAGCAUGCCAUCCUUCACACCCUCAAGCACGAGGGACUGCAGGGAGGUCGGGAAAGGGCAGUAAAAGGAGGGGAGCAAACUGGAGGAUAGAAGCAUGGGGCAAUCAUCUAUAAACAGUGAUCUCAGAGAGCUCUGAUUUUGGAGCAACUCCUUCAAUUGGAGGGGCAUGGGCAGCUGUCCUCCUACUGCAGCUUCUAUUUCCUCUGCUCCGCCUGCCUGCUUGUUAUCACACCUCCGUAGUUGCAACAUUGAGAGGUUAGUGAAAUAAGAGAUUAGCUGUACCAAUUCCUUCAAAGUGGCACCACAAUCUGAUAUCUGGAGCUGUUCAACUGGGAACUCGAAUGGGGAAUCAUUCUCACCUUCAGUUGGCCACAGGACACUACUAAAGUCACUUAUCUGAAGGGUCUUCAGAGAAUUUAGCAGCUGCAGGUGAUGUAGAGGCACUUGUGAGCAUCCAAAAAUCCUGAACUCCUUUAUUUCACUCAGAUUAGUAAAGGCCAAUACAUUCCAGAGUUCACAAUCAAGAGCAUCCUUUUUGAACACUACAUGAACUUUCUGCUCAUUUUUCAUAUAAUCUAUUUCCUGAGUACUUGUGCCCACUUCACACAGUCUAGCUUUGGACAGAGAACUACUCCAGGGAAUUGGUGGCACUGACACUAGCUUCUCACAUCUUGAAAUAUAGAUCUGCUGUAGGAUGGGAAACAUGUGCGGAGAUGGCAGCUCUGUAAGUUCAACACAAUCCUUAAUUGUGAGUACCUCUAGCGUAGAGAAAGGAUCAUCUGCACUCCAUCUUUUCAGAGUUGCUAUGUUGACAAGUUCUAGCCUCUUCAGAUUCUGAAAGAUUUGGCCAGCGAUGCUUGGUUGGUCUUCACCAACCAUCAAGAACUCUCCUAGCAGAGGUGGAAGACUUUUCCACGCUACACCUUCAAGGCAAAGGCAUUCCAAAUUCUUAACAGAGUGGUCUGUACAUAGCCAAGUAGGGUAUGUGUAACCUCCAUGUCCUCUAAUGCACACUUCUUGAAGAUUACUGUGUGGUUUAAGGCAUUCAAGAACAUCUUCUUCUUUUUUGGGGUCCUUGUUAGGUUGGUUUCCAUCCCAAUGUAACAGUAAUCGAUUUAAGUGGUGCAUGUAGACUAACUUGGUUUUUUCCACUUCUGCUGUUGCUUCAACCUUUUCAAGAUUAUGAAUCUCCAGUGACCCUUGGAGCUGUAACAAUUGCCUUAAUUGAUUCAGUUCAAACCCAUGUUUUUCUCUUUUGACCUCAAACCUCCUUAGCUCUUGUAUAGAUUUUAGUUUCCCAACCUCAGAAAUUUCAGAAUGACAAGAAUCAUAUGGCACAAGAAAAUGACGAAUUUUCACUAGGUUACUCAAUUCUCUUGUAGAACUAAAAUUAUUGCAUUGUUUUACAUCUAGGACCAACAAGUUAUAAAAUCUAGAUAUACUGCCAACUAGACUUGUUUCAUUUAAUACAUAACCCUUGAUCCUUAAGUAACGAAGAUGGACAAGUUGUGAAAAACUAGGCAACAAAAGCUCCACAUCAUAAGAUGCUCCAGAUAAGAAAAUGACAUGAAGGGCUUUUGCUUCCCGAAACAUAUCACUAAGUAUUUGACAAAAGCUUCCAUGGUGAUCUCCAAAUAACAUCAAAGUAUGUAGGUUUCCAGCUUUCAAUUUUUUACCAAGUGUAUCAAGGUCGCUCUUACGAUUUUCAAAUGUUGUUCUGUCUUGGACAUCUGCAUCAUUUAUGAUGAUGGACAUGUGAUGUAUUGAUGUGGGAAUUUGUAUUGACCAGACAUCAGACCCUUUUAUGCUAAGACAUUCAUGUGCUGCAACAUAUCUUGCCAAGUCAUGGAGUAGGUCAUGGAUCACAUAAUUUGUGUGGCCAUCCUCUUUUUUUUCUUCUUGGAAGAAACCGUGACUAACCAAGUCACAUAAAUAACAUAGUCCAGUGUCUUCGAUUCUCUUGUUUUGAUCAUUGGGGCCCAACAACCCUAGUCCAAUCCACAAGUGGAUUAACUCUUCCCUUCCAAAUUCAUAAUCUUCAGGGAACAAGGCACAGUGAGAAAAACACUGUUGUAGAUGGAAAGGAAGAUAGUUAUAGCUGAGCUUUAAUGCUGGCAUAAUGUCAUCCUCAUUGGCCUGAUAUUCCCAUUCUUUACUCUCAAAUACUCUUCUCCAAUGGUCCACGGUAAGUUCAGAUUUUAGCAAUCUACCAACAGUUUUUACUGCAAGAGGAAAACCUUUCAAUUUCUUCACUAUUUCCCACCCAACGGCAUGCAAAUUAGUAUGCUCUUCCCAUGGUUGUUUUUCAUCAAAAACACAUGCUUUGAAGAAAUGCAUGCAUUCUUCGUCAUUUAAGCGUUCCAAUCUUAUUGGACAGCCUAUUGUUGUAACCAAUUGUGCCACCUUUGGGAUUCUUGUUGUGACUAUUACCAUAUUACCUUUUGUUUGUACUUUCUUAAAUGGGGCUAGUAUUUUUUUCCAAUCAUCUUCAUGAUAUGUCCACAUGUCAUCCAAGACAAGAAAAAACUGUUUGGACUGUAAUCUUUUUUCAAUUAACUCUUCAACACUCUCAUUCCCAUUUUCAUUGUCAAGUUUAGGAAUUUGUUUCACAAUUUCUUGUGCCAACCUAUUUGCAUUGAAAUUUUGAGAGACACAUACCCAUAACAUGACUUGGAAGUGGCACUUUACUUCUUGAUAAAUGUGUUGUGUGAGUGUUGUCUUUCCAAGACCCCCUGGACCAACUAUUGAAAGCACAGUGAGAUCACUGCCCCGAUAUUUAGAGGUUAUUCCAUCUAUGAUAUCCUUUUUCACUUUAUCCCUCCCAUAUAACUUUGGCUCUAUGAUUUGUGGGGUCGUUGUUCUGGUUGUUUGGUUCAAUGUAGCACCUUGAAGGCCUAUGGUGCCUUUGGAGGCUAUGGUUCCCAACAGCUCUAGAUCAAGAAUAGUGGAGACCUUUGCACAUAACGGCUUGAGAUCAUCUACAAGUUGCGCCAGCCGAUUGGACAUAGCCAUCCUAUUGAACUUGGGCUUUGGUUUUCUAUGAUGCUGGCACAAAAAAGGAGCACAGGAGCAUGAUGGGAGCUUCAGCUUACUGACGACGGCCCCAGCCGUGUGGCGAACAUUGAGGACGAGGCCCUGGACAAGACCCUGAGCAUCAGCAUCAUCAAUGGCCUCAUAGGUCCCUUGGAGCUCGUCCUGGACACGGAAGUACUCCAGCUCAUCCAGCGCAUCAUCCGCGUCAUACGCUUUCUGGCGGAGCUCCAGGAGCAGGUGCCCCAGUGCGGGGUUAUGGACGCCCCUGCCACGGGCAUUGUUCAGCAUCCCCUGCGCGUACAAGAGCUCCAGCUUGAGGGCACGGAUGUUCGGGCCUAGCUCCGAACAGGCCGCCCACGACUCCAAGAGGCCAUCGGAGACAGGCCCCAGCGCCUUGCCCACCGCCCAGCGUGCCGCACCAAUGGCGAUCUCCAUUGAUUAUCCUCGGCUCCUCACUUGAAAAGGUGUUCAGGCAAUGAUGGUGACGAUGCUAGCUGCAUACAGGGAGUCGCUCAUAUUGUUACUACUAGCUAUGGAUAUAUAUGAGUAGUGUCAUUGCCCUACUACCCUUUGUCCGAUCCACAAAAGCAAUGCAAGGUCAAAGAGAUGAAGCAACUUACAUACGCAGGGUCGGCGAGAGUUCGAAUGUCUGGCCGGAGCUGCACAGUGAAGGUAGUCGAUUGGAAAGAUUGGCAGAUUGACGGUGAGGAUGUUAGCUGCAGAGAAUCCAUCGUAUUGUUAGUUGUUACUAGUAGCUAUGGAUAAGAGUACUGUAUGACGGUGAGGAUGUUAGCAAUGCAAGGUCAAAAAGAUGAAAAUGCUUAUACACAUACGCAAGGUCAGCACAAGCGAGGGGGAGCGCCUGGCCAGAUCGAGCUGCACUAGACGUGGACGUAGAUAGACAACAACGCCAAGUAGUGCUGAAGAGUCAAAUAUGCAAGAGCGGGCGGAUUGCGAGGUCAGACGGAACUGAUGUGUGUGAAGGACGAGAGGAGACCUGGAAGAAAGAAAUAGAAGCCCGCAGGCUGGGGCUGGGAGGUGGCCCUAUGCCUAGGAUGAUUAAUAUUUAAUUGCCAUUAGUUUAGCAGAAAGCAGAGGCAACACUUGGCUUUAAGAUACUAUCGUGCAAGCUAAGUAAGGUACUAAUCCACACCAAAAGAGAAAGCAGAAGAAUAAAACAACCUUAGUGUUAGUUAAUUUCAGACUACCUUGCUUAUUGGCCCCUGGGGCAGUGGCAGAGCCAAGAAUAUACACUAAAUUGACAAUAUUCGUUCCCUUGUGCAAACAUAUGAGACCACGCAUGCUGCUUAAUUACUUUAUUACUGCUUUGCUGCAGAACAAGACGUGCUGUCCAGGGUAACACCACAGCAUCUCUCUUUAGUUAGCCUGGAAAUCUGUGUUGGUUGGGUAUGGCAUAAUAUUACUUCUCUGCAGGCGAAAGAAGGAGCGAUGGGACAGCAAAGCAUCGUGGUAAGACAAAGCUUUAGCAAGCUAAGAGAUUUUGCGACAAGCAUGGAUGCCAUGGAACUUGUAAAAAGGACACUCCGCUUAAGAUCUUGCGCACCUAAAUGACGGAUUGCAGGCACACAGAGUCAAAGCGUUUCAGAUAAUCACAUCUGCCAAGAAUACUUUAGACAGGACGGACUGGUGCCGGACUAAUGGCGCGCGUCAUUACCUUGGGAGUUGGGGGACCUCUGGUUCAUGUUCAUGUACCCCCAAAUUGUAACCGGUUUUUUGAAGUACACAAAGCCCUACUGUAUUGUCUGCACUUAAAACUCAAUGGACGGGGCGCCGGGCGAGGGAAGGUGAAAAGCACUCUAUGUCUCUAUAUGGUAGACGUAGAUAAGACCUAAUUAAGUGCCGCUAGUUUAGCACAGGAAGCCAGAGACAAAAGUUGGUUGAAGAUAUUGGUUGUGCCAAGUUAAGUAUGGUUGUGCUACUAAUUAAUCCCCACCCGAAAAAAAAUCAAUAAUGGCACGAGCAGCUAGCAAGAAUGAGAGUAUGAAACAAUGCCCAGCCUUACUGAUUGUGAUUUAUACCUUGCUUGGCCCCGAGCAGCCGGCGCCGGUGCAGGAGCUUGCAAGGGAGGCGCAGCAGCAACGCCAUUUGGGGGAUUGGUUUUGCGGUUUUGCCCCCGCGCCUGCCACCCUGCCGGCUGCCCCACGCCCCGCCGACCGGCCGAGCCGCCGGUGGCGUGCCCGUGACUGGCCCCAUCCCGACUCGCCUACGCCUGCUACCCGUGGCGUGCCUCUUGCCGUCGUCACGGACCCGCCGCCGCUUCCCCGGCGGCCAUGGCUCAUUGGCGGCUAGCUCAUUGGGAAUUGGGGAACUACGAGUGAGCCGAGCCGUGAAAAGGCCUGCUCGGCUAGUCUGAUGCGUAGUGGGCAUGUUGGGCCGCCAUACAAUACAACCCAGAAAAGAAAGAAAAACGAGUCCUUUUCAUCACCAUUUAAAAAACUAUUCAUUCACAAAGUCCCAUUUUCCUCCCUUGUAUAUGAAUGAAAAUAUGAUUUUGAUCUCCUUCAACCUUUAAAAACGUUCUUGCGCCCUCUGAUUGCAAAAGUCCUUUAAAAUAAAACUGUGUUUCUUCCUCUGCGUUCCUUCUGAAAAGGCACUGAUGUCUUUUUUAAAGAAACGUUGAAAAUCUUCAAGGUUUUCCUGAUCGACUAGUCUGAUGACGCCAAGCCUGCAUUACUCCAAAUCAUCAGGUUUCAGUUAAUUCAAGUCCAUUCCACCCGGGCUUGCCUGAAAGGCUGCAAUGCAUCAGUGACAGCAAAUUCUUAUUGUCAUUGACGUUUACAGCAUGUUUUUUUACCAAUAUAUGUUAGAGUUAUGGACUUGAGCAGAUCUUUUAAUUUGGAGAAAACUUAAAGCAAAUUUUGAUGCACAUAAUCACAUAGACUGGCCAUACACAUCCAUCAACUACAGAUUGAUGGAAUCAUGAAUCAUCUAUCCAUGUACCAUUUGGGAGGAUUGGCUGGAUUAGACCGUUUCCAUCCACCUCCAAACUUUCCACUGUAUAAGGAUGAUGGAUACAAGUUAUCUUUACAAUCUCUAGAGAUUACACAAGAAGCUGAAAAGCAUCAUUGUAAAACCAAGAGCUAACAGGAGGUAACUAUUUCACCGAAACAAUGUCACACUGCUAAAUCUGGCAGCCUGAAGUUGCUGAUCCAUUCCGCAUACCGCUGAAUAAUGGUAAACCCAAAAACAGAGAAAACUUCUCAAACAUCAUCUCCAUUCAGCUGCUACUGACACACCAGUCUUCUCCGUAGCUGCUACUGAAGCAAAAGAAUUUUUUUUAACUUUUUUGAGCUGCCUCUUUGGAGGAAGGAGGCAUGUAAACUCUUCUUUGGAAGUUAAGAAGACAUCCUGGAAAAAGAAUAAUGGAUUUUGUUUCUCACCCUGACCAUCCUAUAGCAGUUGAUCCAGCCUCAACCCCUCAACCAUUCAAAUCUUCACACACCAAAUCCAAAUACUGAACAUGUAUGUUUCAAGAUAAUGAAACAGAACAGCUAUCACAGAAAUGAACCGUGCUACUAAUUAAGUAACAAAUGGAAUACGUAAGGUUUGGUUAGCCUCACUAUCCAGCACAAAUCAAUAGCCAAGAAGAAAUCUCUACAAUACAAUAACCAGCUAGAAAUAUUCAGUUUAACUUUCAGAGUGCAAUGUAUGCAAUUAACAAGCUUACACCUCGGCGAACAUAAUGUGUUGACUGUUGACUUCUCACAAAAGACAAUCUACUUUCCACAGAAUUUCAACAUGCUCAAUUGCUCAUUGGUGACCAGUGCUCACUCGAAUUAGGUUUCAUUUCUUUCCCAACAAACAAAUUAAAGUAUUGCUCCCAGUAACCUCGUAGAUGUUAUACAUGGACGUGGCUUCAAAAGAAAGAGGUUACACUUGUUAUCCCUGCAGAAGAGGGCACGCCAGCGAUCCACUCGAUCACUGUAUCAAAAACUUGUGCAAAAUAAAAAGCAAUUAAUUCCAGGAGUUAACUACCUUCACACAAAUGGAAAAGGUAGUUUCGAUAUUUUCUUCGAUAUUCAUACCCACUGGAACCAAAGUGUUAAGCCCCACUUAUAGCACACUUUCAUCUUGAUUUUGAAGGCCUUGCUUCAUCAGGUUUGAGUUUUGUAUUUCAUGGACUUGCAGCAAUAGCUUCUGGUUCCUCUUCUGUAGCGACUAAUCUCAGUGCUGCAGAAAAAAACAAAUAUCAAAAACAAGGUCUGCUGAUUGCGGAAUUGAUAAUCCAUCAGUGAACAUUUAAUUACCAACCAAUCACAUGUUCCAACAAGUUGCUACAACUAAAAAAGCAACAAUACAUCCUAUAAUCUCAGCUCCAUCAGUUAAUAAGUUGCAUAGAUCAUUAACAGAAGAUAGACUUAGAGCUCCUGAGGAACCUCCCUUUGUUUAACAUAAUAGCAUCAUCAAUAUACUCUAUCUUAUUAACUGACAUUCAACCGAUCAAGGGUAAGAAAUUAGAAAUGUGCUGCAUUGAACAAAGGCACAAGGUAGACAUCUAUAGUGUAGAGUAACAACUUUAGUGCUAUUUUUUCAGCCUAAACUUUUCAACACCCAUCAUGUGUCUAAUAUAGAUGUAAAAUAGAUGAAGAAAUUCCUAGAUGUGUAUUGGCCAUUGUUGGGCUGUCCCAGGCCAUGUGCCAGGUGGGCGACAGCAUAGGACCGGCAGAAACAUGGAGGCUGAAAAUUUAACCUUUUUACUACUUAGUAUUAUUAGUUAUUAGCAAACCUGAUCAUGCCUCCAGUUAAUGUUUUCUUUUUCUUAUUAUGCGACAACAUUCCAGAAAAAACACUGUGGUUUCCCUCCUUCCUCUCAAUCCCUUUCCAUAUCUGUCCUGUUGCAGACCAAUAGUUUCCCAUUUUUUAUGAGAAAAAAAAUAACAGAUCUACUCCAAAUUCUCCUCCCUCUCUUAUUAAUUUGUGAUGUCAUUAGUUUGAUACUUUGAAGUCGUAGAAGUUUAUUGACUAAAUUACCCUAAUGUGGAAAGUUCGGGGCCUAAAUUAGAGUUUGGCACAUGCCCCCAAACUUUCAGUCAUGACCUGCAUGUGUAGCUAGUGUCAGAUUGUCUGUAACCAAAAUAAAAGGUAUUGGUAAGCAUAACAAAGUUCAUGUCUAUCUUAUCCUAUAAAUUUGCUGAACACAUAUAGUAUCGUACUAUCCAUAUUUUCGUUACUGAAAAUUUACAUGUUCCCAACAUUGUCAAAUCAUAAACCAAGCAAAGUUGUACCGGAGUGCAGAGGGACAUAGCAAAAUUGUACCUGGAGUGCAGAAGCUCGUGUAGGGAACAACACAGGGAACACGACCAAGCAAGCCAUCUUCAUCACAUUCCCCCUUGUAUACCUUCCGCACCCGACCAGACUUUAGAUCAAAACUGAAUAGCACACCAUCAUUCAUUCCCACGAAAAAGACAUCAACACCAUGCACAAAGCCAAGGAAGCCAUAUGAUGGAGCCGGCAUCGACUGGAAGCAACUUCUGAAGCUCAAUGACUCUAGUCCGUGUCCAUCCCACGCCUCCGUUUGGAUUCACCUCCAUUGACCAGAGCAAGAGUCUGGCGGCCAUAUCCACUCUUGCAAAUCCCAGCCCACCACCCUCCAUCUCCAUGAGCGCAAUAGCACAAUUGGAGGCUCGAGGUAAGUGAAUCACAGAUGUCUCCCUUGUGACCAAAUCAAAACCAAGGACCCUACUGCCAUUAUCAAUCGAGAAGUAGAGUGUGUUCCCCACAAGGGCAGUGGGCACUAGAUCGACGCUGCACAUGGGGACCAGAGUCGGCUCGCUCCAGCAGGAUGCCGCCGAUGAGUAGACGCGCAAGGACCAGCGCUGGCCCUGGCUGCAGCUGUAGUACUUGGUGACAAAGCGAACGACGACGAAGGCUGUACCAUCGGCCGUGGGCUCGCGGAGCACAGUCGCGUACCACUCGUCCCGUUCACAUUCGUCCAGGACUGGUAUCUCCCACCGCUCGCCCGUUGUCGGGUCCCAGAUGACGAGGGCGUCCACCUCGUCGUCACCCAGGACGAAGUGGAGGACGACGAGGCCGUGGCGGGCGUCGAGGACGACGCAGUCGCGGACCGGCGGCGGAAAGAGGAGGUGGGGACGAACCGGGCGAACAAGGGGUUGCAGAGGAAGCCGAGCAGUGGUGCUGUGCGGUGUAACUCCUUGAACCGGCGGCGGAAGCUGCGGGCACAGACGAUGCGGCACCAGGGCUUGCAGACGAGCGCGGCGCGGACGAGGCUCACGGGAUCGGCCGGUGGGAGGCGGAGGAGGAUCUCUUCGACGACGUCGGCCGGCAGCUCCAUACUGCUACAGAUCCGGGGAGAGGAGCGGCGCUGCCUGGUGCGAAUUGGCGCGUUUAGAGUAGACUAGUGAAGGUCCAAGUGCUCGUUUUGUUUGAGCCCCACUUCCUGUACCUGUAGCAAAUGGGGCAGGAAAAUUAUAAGAGCAAGGAAGUUUAAGAAAACAACACAAUGUCCACACUUUUGAUAAUGCUUUUAUGUGGAAAAACUCUCAAAAUGAGGAGUAAAAAACCAUGGGACCAUCACGGUCCACUGCCAAACUUUCCAUUACAUGAGGAUGAUGAAUACCAUGUACUCUUUACAAUAUCUACAGAUAAUAUUAGAUCUGAAAACCAUCAUAAUAAAACCCUUGCACGACCAAACAUAACCACGAAUGUAACCUUGAGCUAACAGGAGUUAACCACUUCACCAACAUAAGGUCAUGCCGUUGAAUCCUGAAACAGUCAAUCCAUUUUGCACGCUGCUGAACAAUGGCAACACAAACUAAAAAAGUCUCUCUCAAACGUGAUGUUCUUCUAGCACAGUACACAAGUUUUUCCACAGCUGCGGCUCAAGUAAAACAUGUUUUACUGAACUUCUUUUCAAGUCUAUCUUUGGAGCAACGUGGCAUCUAAACUUGUCCGUGCAAAGGUGUUUUUCUCCCUUUUGAACCCCAGUAUCUUGAACAUGACUUAAGACCAUGCCAGUUUCUAGGCUCAUUGAUGCUGCUGCAACUGCAAUGGAACUAUGAAAUGACUGCACCUCUACCAGUUGCAGCAUCGCUACUCACUUGGUACAAAGAACAUCCAUAGUUCAGAACAAUCCCUUUCCUAAAACAGAAGACAAAUUGAAUAAUUGAAGUCACUUAUUUGCAUAAUGUCACGGACAUAAUAUUAAUCUCUAUGUAUCCUAAUGUCACCACAUUGACAGAGAAGCAAAUACUAUUCAUUUUCAAAAAUUGUAAAAUAUCUAUAUUUUCAUUAUCUUCAAAUUCAGUUAUGAGUGUUCAUUUUAUAUUAUCAGAAAAAUCAGUAUGUUUCAUAGAGGCUUCCAACAUUAAGACCUAUUUGUAUAAUUAUGUACUGUAAUAUUGUAUGGGCAUGGCUAUUUAAAAGGUCAAAAAGGGGGCAGCAGCCAGAUAUAUCUAAAUAAUGAAACAAGCUACAACGUCAUAUCAGUAUGGCUCAGUGACUGACUGACGCUCCUAACAUAACCAGAGAGAGAGAGAGAGAGAGAGUUUCAAAUGUUCAGCCUUCUAAUAUUUUAGCCCCAUUCAUUAGCAAGCUUCAAGUAAGGAAACAAAUUUUACAUGCUAUUAACACUGGAAAAAUGUCACUUCAAUGAAACUGGAUGGAUGGAGUGUCAGCAAAUUGGCUUGGAACUAAUAAAAUUUCUAUGUCUAAUAAAAUUUACAGGCACAACUUUAUUUUUGUCGUCUUUACAAAAAACAAAAAAAAUGAGAGAAAGGAGGUGAGAUACUGAGAGAGAUAUUUUGCAGAAGUAGCGCCUCAAAAGCCAGCAGUCUUGUAGGAGUACAAAACAGCGGGCUGCUGUGCUGCCGCCCCACACACGACCUGCGAACCCCAGGAUGAGGCUAUGCCGAUCCCAUCAGCAGAGACGAUGCCUGCCAUGCUUGCCUGCCGUCCACGCGUGUGUCACAUGCAGUUGACCAUCAAAAGAUGCACACCACACACCACAGUAACGCCGAAAGAUCCAUCUCAGAAUCUAUCCAUCCAUCAAGGGAAAGAGAGGCAUUCGAGAGCCGGCUGGUACAGCUUCAGCAUUAGCACCCAGCCACCCACCACUCCCUACUACCGCCUACCUCAGUCUCAGUGCAACUUCCACUUUGCACUCAUCAACCAGUGUCUCUGUAUGAAUGGCGUGAAAACGAAAUGCCCGGCCCCUCUUCCUCAACGCCGGCGCCCCAGCUGUUGCAGUACUGGCAGCGGCAAGACGAAGGGAUGUAGCCGGCCGGCGACGCAGACAAGGCGAGCGCGCCGGCCCUGCAACAGCCACUUCUAGUCUUGUAUGCUCGCGAACUCCCAUUGUCGGACGCCCAACAGUACGCAUCUCCUUGCUCUCCUAUUCCUGACACAAGGCCUUCCUUGCUGAGCGAUGGACCGGCCAAACUGGCCAACCUGUUAAUGCGCUCUGGGGUUUCAGCGCCGCUGAGAGAUGCCGCCGAUGGAUGUCCACACACUCGAUGCACCUGGCCGCGUGCUGCGGCUAUCCAUGAUUCUUUCAGGGACGAGGUUGCUGGCGUCGCGCAGGAGGUUCCUCUAGGGAUGCAAUGCGAUGCUCGCCUCCGUCAGUAGCACGGCAUCAGGCAGGCAUUCCACCUGCAGCAAGUUUCAGAGAAUAAUGUGGUAUCAAUUUCAGCAAUAGCUUCCACUUACGUGCCUGCCUGCCUGCCUGUCUGCCUGGAUUAAUUUCAAAUGCUCAGCAAGAGAUGACUAGUCCCACUACCUGAGUGAAGCUGCUAGCAAUCGCAAGAUGCUCCUUGUCAAUAUCCAUGCUGACAACAAGCGCUGGAAGCCUGUUAUGGUCUGACGGUUUCUUUGACUUCUAUACGUCUACGGCCUCUGCAGAUGCCCCCAUAUGUGCUGAGACAUAGUUCAAGCAUCAGCGACAACUGACGCUACUAAGAAGGCGAGGGAUGUCAAUAGCAGGUUAUAGCAGAGGUUAACCUCCAUCCACGAGUACAGUGGAUGCGCCCCGAUUGAGUACUGACGCUUCCUCUGCUGUCAGAAACUGGCUCCUCCGAGGAAGUUGAGUCUUCCUCGCGCGGGUGGUUGCUCUGGCAAGCGGCGAUGCCAUGGCGAUGCUCGUUUCCAUCAGUAGCAUGAUGUCAGGCGUUUAACCUGCAGCAAGUUUUAGAGAAAAUGUGGCAUCAACUUCUGCAUUAACUUUCAAUCAUACGCCGGCAAAACCAAGGGAUGGCUAGUCCCACUCAGUACCUGAGACAAGCUGCUCAGCAAACACAAAAGAUGCUCCUUGUCAUUAGCCAUUCCAACAACAAGCGCUAGAGGCCCUUCUGGUCUGUCUCACAGUUUGUAUCACAUCUGAUAAUGCCUUUGCAGAUGACUUAGUGCUAGUAAGUAUGGGCUGGGACAUAGUUCAAGCAUCAGCGACUGACUGGUCCUACUGAAAGGGAAGGUCGGAAGGAUAUGUCAUGAGCAGGUUACAGCAGAGGUUAACCUCCACCGAUGGAUGAGUACAUACAGUGGAUGUGCCAUCCUCCCAGGAAGUUGGGUCUCCUCUAAGUCGGCUUGGAUCGAAACGUCAGAGAUAUCCCAUCGUUAACUUACCAAACCCAUGCAAUAGACAGGAAAAAACACAUCAGUGAAUGCGUGUGAUAAACAAAAAACAGACAAGUGAAGGAUCAAAUGUUCAGCCUUAUAAUAUUUCAGCCUCAUUCAUGAUCAAUAUUAACUUUGGAGAAAUGUCACUUCGAUGACACUGAAUGGAUGGACUGUCAGCAAAUUGGCUUGGAAGUAUGGUUACCUUGACUAGUACGGAGACAAAGACCUGCGCAAGCAGCUGUGACAGUGUUCCAGCGCUGAUGACCUCCCAGCAGCUGGAGGUAUACAUCAUCCAAUCCAACCGACUGAAAAGGGAAGAUUGCGCUGAUCAGUUAGAAGAUUUGAAAAAACAGAUGGGAGCCUAUCACAUUCAGACUAAGUAGGUUACGUCGCGAUGAAACUCACCAAUGGUACAUCAUUUAAAAUCUCGAUGCUGAUGUAACAGCAUUGAUAUAUGGCUUUCCAUUAUCCCAACUUAUGCAUUUUGUAAAGUUCUUCAUGCCAGGGUCACAAGCAGAUAUCACGGGAGAUUGCAUCGUCAAGAAUGCCCUGUAACGAAAAUUUUGCUCAAUCUCUGCUCAAAAUGGUCCACCAAUCACAGUCUGACCAAAAAAAAUGUUUGAUAUCCAGGUUACAUGUUGUCUAGAACCUAAACCAAGAUGGAAUAAAAAAAACCCUGAAACGUAGUAUCAUUGAUUUGGACCAUGUAUGCUAUGUCAAGCAAUUCAAAUAAGAGUGAAGAUUUAAGAACAAAGUUGCAGCACAAAUUCUAAUGAUUGGAAAGGAUUAAAGAAGCUAAAUCAGAGAAAACUGGAAGAGGGAUGGUUCCUAAUACUGUUACAGUGGUGCUCUUUGCAUGCAGUGCAAUGUAACAAGGUAAGGUGCCACUGAUCAGAUAAUAACAAAGUAAAAUGGCCACCAAAAAAAAAUUGAGCUACUUCACGUUCAGCAACUAACAUGGGUGAUCCUUAGGUGGAACUUUUUGGUAAAAAAUAGUGCAAAAAAAAGGAAGUGUUUGUUACCUUAGAUUAGUAGCCUCAGAACUUAACUAUGGGUAUUGUUCCUUGCAGCUUCUGGCACUGCUUCUGUAGCUUCUCGUUGCUAUCUGUGACAUCUAGCAUUUGAAGUGAAUUCGGGAGGCUGCCCUCAUGCAGCGACCUGAUAGCAGGACAGCCGCGGAUCCGUAAUAUCUUCAGUGAACUUGGAAGGCUUCCCUUUGGUAGCAACCGGAAGGCACCACAACCAUUUAUGUGUAGUUCUGUCAGCGAACUUGGGAGGGUACCCUUGGGCAGCGACCGGAUGACCUUACAGAACGAGAUAUGUAGUUCCACCAGUGAACUUGGAAGGCCGCCCUUCGGUAGCGACCGGAAGGAGUCACACAACCAGAUCACUAAUCUCUUGAGGUUGGGAAGCCCACUUAACCCUUCUGGCAGGGACUGCAGCCUAGAGUACCCCAGAAUUCGAAGAACCUGGAGGGAGGUGAGCAUCUGCAGGGCCUCCGAUUGCUCCAUUGUGAAGUGCUCCAAGUCGUCAUUCCCACCAAGAUCUAGCUCGGUGAGAGAGGAAGAGAACUGGCCACCAAUGGGCACAGAAACGGCGCCUCCUGCUUCCCCAUCCGUUUCGAGCGCCGGCAACCUGGAGCUAUGCUGGGGAAGAUCUUGUUCGCACAUCUGUGAAGGCUUUGGGACAUCAAGUAAGUUGUGCGCUCUCCAGAUUUCUAAUUCCUUGAGACGACCUUGGGCAAGGAGAUGCCAUAGGUCCUCUGAUCUUAGACCUCCACAAUCAUAUAGGUCCAAUUUGGUCAGAUUUGUGAGAGGAACCAGUGUAAGCAUGGCAUCCUUCACACCACAAAGAUUGAGGUACUGCAGAGAGGUCGGGAAAGGGCAGUAAAAAGAGGGGAUCGAACUGGAGGAUAGAAGCAUGAGGCAAUCCCCUAUAGCCAGAUUUCUCAGGGAGCUCUGAUUUUGGAGCAACUCCUUUAAUUGGAGGGGCAAAGGCAGCUGUCCUCCUGCUGCAGCUUCUGUUUCCUCUGCUCCUCCUGUCUGCUUGUUAUCUCUCUUCCAUAGUACCAACGUUGAGAGGUUAGGGAAAUAAGAGAUUAGCUGUAACAAUUCCUUCACAGUGGCACCACAAUCUGAUAUCUGGAGCUGUUCAACUGGGAACUCGAAUGGGGAAUCAUUCUCACCUUCAGUUGGCCACAGGACACUAGUACAGUCACUUAUAUGCAGGGUCUUCAGAGAGUUUAGCACUUUCAGGUGAUGUAGAGGCACAAGUGGGCAUUCACUGAUCCUGAACUCCCUUAUUUCACUCAGAUUAGUAAAGGCCAAUACAUCCCAGAGUUCACGAUCAAGAGCAUCCUUUUUGAACUGUACAUGAAUUUUCUGAUCAGUUUUCCGGUAAUCUAUGUACUGAAUACUAGCACCCACUGUUAUCAGUUCAGCUUUGGACAGAGAACUACUCCAGGGAAUUG
Molecule: long non-coding RNA, 54294 nt
Filed under: Sorghum bicolor (sorghum)
Lineage: Eukaryota; Viridiplantae; Streptophyta; Magnoliopsida; Poales; Poaceae
Description: long non-coding RNA (SBIC_LNC015216)
Rfam family: MIR5565 microRNA precursor family (bases 29345-29453)
Source: RNAcentral